UUUUUUUUUUGGGUUUUUUUUUUGUAGUACAUUCUAAAAAAUAUAUAGUAUUUAUUCCAAUAAGAAUUUUUAUAAAAAUAAUAUUUUAUGUGUAAUUUGGAUACAUAUAAUAAACAGAGCAUGUAUAAUCUAUACAGCCCUGUUUUUUAUAUGUAUCCAAAUUACACCUAAAACACUAUUUUCUAAAAAAAUUCCAGUUAAAAUAAAUAAUAUAUAUUUUUUAAGAGGUACUACAAAAAAAAAUCAAAAAAAAGAAAAAAAAAAUCAUUAGAAUGUCACUAAAAAAAUAUCCCCUAAAAUUAUAUAUAUAUAUAUAUAUAUAUAUAUAUAUAUAUAUGUGUGUGUGUGUGUGUGUGUGUGUGUGUGUGUGUGUUCACAUUAGAAAAUGUGAUUAACGAAUAGUGUUUGCUAUAUUAUAAAAGUAACUGUUAGUAUAAAAUUAAUUAAUAUAAUGUUAACGUCGAAUGUGAUCAUUUUCUCUAUAUGUACUAUAAACAAAUCUAUGCCCUUUAAUUGGGAAAAAAAUGGUUCAUAUUUCUAAAGUUUUAACACUUUCGCUACUCUACUAUUAGUGGCAAAUAAUAUUUAAAAAAAAAUUAAAAUCAAUUUCUAUUCAAUUGGAUAUUCUUUUCGUUCCAUAAUAUAUGAUUUUUUAAAAUUAUUUAACAUUUUAUAUAAUUUAGUGGGAAAAUAUUUUAAAGAAAAGAGAGUGAGAUAAGUAUAUGAUAAAUAGUAUUAUAAAUAAUUAAUAUUAUAUGUAAUAUUAUACAAUUAUUUUUUUAAUUUUUGCGCAUAAUUCUAAAAUCUAUAUAAUAAAACAGAACCUAUUUUGAAUCUUUUAUUUAACAAAGCACAAGAACGGUUCAGAUUCAUUCUAACUUAAUUCUUCCAACUUAAUCUAAAGGCUCAUAUUUCUUCCCGCCCAAAUCAAAUUCACUAAUACACCAUACUCUCUCUCAUGUUCACACACAAAAUCUUUCUCUCUCCUCUCUUCUUCGCGCACACAAACAAAUAAUAAUAAUAAUUAUAAUAAUAAUAAUAAUUAUAAUUGUACUAAUAAUAAUAAUAGUAAUAAUAAUAAUAAUAAUAAUUAUUAUUAUUAUUAUAAAAAGAAUAAUUAUAAUAUCUAUAUAAUAAAAUAGAAACUAUUUUGAAUAUUUCAUUUAAUAAACCACAAGAACGGUUCAGAUUUCAUCUCAAUUCUUCCAACUUAAUCUAAAGGCUCACAUUUCAUCUCACACUAAAAAUUCCCGCCCAAAUCAAAUAACAAUAAUAAUAACAAUAAUAAUAAUAAUAAUAAUAAUAGUAGUAGUAGUAGUAAUUAUAAUAAUAAUAAUAAUAACAAUAAUAAUAAUAUUCAUAUUCAUAUUAAUAAUAAUAGUAAUAAUAAUUAUUAUUAUAAUUAUAAUAAUAAUAAUUAUAAUAGUACUAAUAAUAAUAAAUCUAUAUAAAAAAACAGAAUCCAUUUUGAAUCUUUCAUUUGACAAAGCACAAGAACGGUUCAGAUUCAUUCUAACUAAUUUCUUCUAAUUUAAUCUAAAGGCUCAUAUUUCUUUCCGUCAAAAUCAAAUUCACUCAUACACCAUACUCUUUCUUAUGUUCACACAUAAAAUCUUUCUCUCUCCUCUCUUCUUCACACACACAAACAAAUAAUAAUAAUUAUUAUUAUAAUUAUAAUAAUAAUAAUUAUAAUAGUACUAAUAAUAAUAAAUCUAUAUAAAAAAACAGAAUCCAUUUUGAAUCUUUCAUUUGACAAAGCACAAGAACGGUUCAGAUUCAUUCUAACUAAUUUCUUCUAAUUUAAUCUAAAGGCUCAUAUUUUUUUCCGUCAAAAUCAAAUUCACUCAUACACCAUACUCUUUCUUAUGUUCACACACAAAAUCUUUCUCUCUCCUCUCUUCUUCACACACACAAACAAAUAAUAAUAAUUAUUAUUAUAAUAAUAAUAAUAAUAGUAAUAAUAAUAAAUAUUAUUAUAAUAGUACUAAUAAUAAUAAUAAUAUUUAUUAUUAUUAUUAUAAUAAAAAUAAUUAUAAUAUCUAUAUAAUAAAACAGAACUCAAUUUGAAUUCUAUAAUUUGACAAAACACAACAACGUCUCAAAUUCAUUCUAACUUAAUUUAAAGGCUCACAUUUCAUCUCACACAAACAAAAUUCCGCCCAAAUUUUCUCCUUCAUUUUCUCUCUCCUUUUCUCUUUCCCUUUCUCUCUCCUCUACUCCUUCCCCCUUUCUCUCUCCUCUACUCCUUCCCCCUUUCUCUCUCCUCUUUCCUCCGUCUAUUCUCUUUCUCUCUCCUCUACUCCUUCCCCCUUUCUCUCUCCUCUCUCCUCUCUCCUCUCUCCCCCGCCUUCUCUCUUUCUCUCUACUCCUGAUCCUCUCCUCCCUUUCUUUCUCUAUCAUCUCUCAUCUUUUUCUCUCUCCUCUGCCGUUUCUCUUCUCCUUUUUCUCCAUUUACUUAAUUAAUUAGUAUUUUAAUAUUUUAUUUUAAAUUAUAAUAAUUUUUGAAGUAUACAUACAUUUAAAAUAUAUAAUACAUAAAUAAGAAAACAAUUACAAAAUCAAAAAAUUAAUUUAUCAAAAACAACAAAUAUUAAUAAUAAUUACUACUACUACUACUAUAAUAAUAAUAAUAAUAAUAAUAAUACUAAUAAUUACUACUAUAAUAAUAAUAAUAAUAAUAAUAAUAAUAAUAAUAAUAAUUACUACUACUAUAAUAAUAAUAAUUACUACUACUACUACUAUAAUAAUAAUAAUAAUAAUAAUUACUACUACUAUAAUAAUAAUAAUAAUAAUAAUAAUAAUAAUAAUAAUAAUAAUUACUACAACUAUAAUAAUAAUAAGAGUAAUAAUUACUAUAAUACUAAUAAUAAUAAUAAUUAUAAUAAUAAUAAUUAUAAUUACUACUAUAAUAAUAAUAAUAAUAAUUACUACUACUACUAUAAUAAUAAUAAUAAUAAUACUAAUAAUUAUAACAACAAUAAUAAUAAUUAUUAUUAUUAUAGUACUAAUAAUAAUUAUUAUAAUAAUACUAAUAAUUAUUAUUAUUAUUUAAAUAAUAGUAAAAAUAAUAAUAAUUACUACUACUAUAAUAAUAAUAAAUAUCUAUAUAAUAAAACAGAACCCAUUUUGAAUCUUUCAUUUGACAAAGCACAAGGACGGUUCAGAUUCAUUCUAACUUAAUUUUUCCAACUUAAUCUAAAUGCUCAUAUUUCUUCCCGCCCAAAUCAAAUUCACUCAUACACCAUACUCUCUCUCAUGUUCACACACAAAAUCUUUCUCUCUCUUCUCUUCUUCACACACACACAAAAAUAAAUAAUAAUAGUACUAAAAAUAAAUAUAAUAAUAAUAAUAAUAGUACUAAGAAUAAUUAUAAUAGUAAUAAUAAUAAUAAUAAUUAUUAUUAUAAUAGUAAUAGUAAUAGAAAUAAUAAUUAUAAUAAUAAUAAUAAUAAUAAUAAUAAUAAUAAUAAUAAUAAUAAUAAUAAUAAUAAUAAUAAUAAUAAUAAUAAUAAUAAUAAUAAUCUAUAUAAUAAAGAUUCUGAUUCAUUCUAAUUGAUUUGAGCGGGAAAGCACAAGUACGGUUCAGAUUCAUUCUAAUUUUAAUUCAAAAUAAUAAUAAUUAUAAUAUAAUAAUAAUAUUAUUAUAAUAGUAAUAAUAAUAAUAAUAGUAAUAAAGUAAUAAUAAUUAUAAUAAAAUUAAUAUUAAUAUUAAUAAUUAAAAUUAUAAUAAUAAUAAUAACAACAACAACAACAACAAUAACAAUAAUAAUAAUUAAAAUAAUAAUAAUAAUUAUUGUGGUGGUGUGGUGAAUUAUGAUAAUUUUUAUUGAUAAUUGUAAGUUUUGUAGACAAGUUUAAUUUUUUCUGGAUAUCUAUUUUUAAAGGAAAAUUAAUUAUUGUGGUAGUGUGGUAAAUUAUGAUAAUUAUUAUGUCUGAUUUUAAGUUACAAAAAGUCUUUAGGUAAUAAAGUAUUUUUCAAAUUUCAAUUUAAUUUUUUGUUACGUCGUGCCUUCAGGCACAGACAAUUACUAGUAUCUUAUAUUAUGAGACAGGAGAAGGAGAGUAUAUAUAUAUAUAUACCAUCGAAAGAGGUGCAAAUCAUUUUGAUCGGCAUUUAUCAUUCAUUCAUUCACACCUUUACAUGCAUUUGGAUUGCCAGCUAGUUAUUUAUAAUAAAUUAUAGUAGUACCUCAGUAACAAAAAGAGACAAGAGCGGGGAGAGAGAGAGAGAGAGAGAGAGAGAGAGUAGUCGACUGCAUAAUGCAAAUUCAGCGUGCUGAGUCCUGGCAAAGGUAUACGUAGUAGUUGUCUUCUCUAGUCCUAAGUCCUAACUAUAUAAUUUGCCUUUUGAUCUCAAUGAAAAUAUGAAUAAUGCUAAGAUUAUAGUUUUGGGAUAUAAUUAUAAUUACAAGAUUAUUAAGUCAUUUUAUAAUCUCUAAAUUAAUAGUCUCGCAUUUAAAUUUAAAAACAAACAAGAAACUUGAUAUUAAUAAUUAUAUCUCAAGUAUAAUUCUUGCAAACAAACAUAGUCUAAAUAGACAUAAAAAUUAUCCUUCAUCAGAUCCAUAAUUUGAAUUUCAGUUAUUUAAAUCAUCCUUCAUCAGAUCCACAACAGCAAAUGAGGAGGCCCAAUUACACUCGACUCUUGGCGUUAAUUGAUUAUUAUUAUAUACACAAGGAGCCUCCUUUUUGAUUGCUUGUGAAAUUAGCAAGAGGAGAAAGAAGGCUUUUAGUAUUGGGCAAACUUUAGGUGUCCAGCCCAAUCUUGUAGCUUUUCCUUUAAAUCUUGUUUGGAAUGUGGAAUUUGGAUUUAAUCAUUAAACUGAUCUUGUCAAUGUUAUCCAAAAUUAUUGAACCUUCAAACAAUUGUAAAAAUUACUCAUAAUUUAACUACAAGAAUUAAUGUGUACAUAUAAUAUGACGUGUGCAUAUGAUCUCAUAAAAAAGACACUUAAAGCCACUGCAAAUUGCAUUUUUAAAAUGCUGUUUUAAUUUGUCUUGUGGAUUAAUUGUUGAGAUUUAAUUAAUCUAAACUACAAAUGAAAGCGAGGUACCCUCACCUGUUCGAAACACCAGGUACGUACGUCAAUUUCGAGGACGAAAUUUUAUAAGGAGGGGAGGUUGUAAGAUCCCAGCUUUUUAUAAAAAAAAUCGAAUUUUCUCUAUUCAUUAUCUUGAAAUAAUAAAGAGUUAAUUUGAUAUAAUGUUUUGGUUAUGGAUGAAAUGUGAAAAUUUUACAAAAUAAGCAAGUGGUUGUAAAAUAUUCAUUUCUGUCGGGGAAUAUUCGUUUGGUCGUGGAAUAUUCUUUUUAUCGGGAAUAUCCGUAUGACGGCGUAGUCAUUUGUGGGCCCCAUAACGGAAUAACUGUCGGAUGAAGAAAAUAACAAGUUUGAGUUUUUAUAAAUAACAGCGUAGUUGUUACCGUUAACACUGUUGGAAUACCCGGUGGUUAAAAUACAGUAAUACGCGUGGUUGCACAGUAGCACACGGUAUUGCACAGUAUUGUUGAAUUAUUGAUUCUUACGUAAGAAGGCACUACUCAAUAAUUGUUACAGUAAUUACUGUUCAAUAUUUUAUUUUAUUGAUUCAAUAAUUGCUGCGUUGAUAUUUUAUAUUAUUGUUGUUUCAAUAAUUGUCACUGCACAGUAUUUCCCAUUAUCAGAUCAAUAAUUCAUAUUAUUUGAAUAAUAUUAUUAGAUAGCAUUAUUGGCAAUGUCUAGAAAGUUCUAUCAAGGAGAGGUUUGGUCACCUAAUUGUGCGCCAGUAAGGAGAAAUCCUUAUUGGAAAGCCCCCUCUUUCCUGGGAACGGUUUGGUUGUCAUAAUUGUGAUUCUGUAAUAUUAUUUAUGAAUAAUUAAUUAUUUAUUAAUAUGAUAAGAAAAUAUUUAUUUGACGUGGAUAUAAAUGAUGGAUUUAUUUAUGUGGUUAUAAAUGAAGGAAUUAAUGUUGAGGUAUUUUAUCAGUAUUUUGUCGGAUUGGAGGUAUUAAAAACUCAAAUCGGUGUUCUUAAAGCUUUAUUGCGUGAGUUGUAAUUCUAAUCCGACUGUUGGAUCGUUGUGAUUUUUGGAUAUGUUAUUCAUAUAUGAGUUGAGUAUAUGUCCACAAAUUUUGAACCGUUGAAAAUUAACGCAUGAUUUGUUAUGAAUUUUAAAAGGUGUUGAAAAUCGUCCGUUUGUGGAUUUCGGAUAUUUUCUGUUUGGAAUUUGGAAAGACUCAUAAUUACAAAGUUGUAGAAAAUUCGAUUUCAUGCGAAAUGGACAUAAAAUUCGUAUUUUUCUGAUAAAACGGCUAUUUUCUAUGAAUUAUUGAAGUUUCGAAAAAUAAAAUGAUUUUUAUUAAAUUAUGGGUGGGACCCACUUUUGUUUUAACACAUAUGGGCUGCUGAAUUUCUUCCAAGAUGGCUGUCCAAAAAUUCAACAAAGCAUGCAUAAGGAAUUUUGAAUAAUAAUAAUAUUAUUUUAUUACUUAGUCUCCUAUAGCGUUCUAGCAUUUUCCUAUAAAUAGAUGCUUAGGUUAGAAUUGAAAAUCACACCAGAAAUAAGUUUUCUUUCUCUCUAGAUUAUCGAGCGUAUUUUUAUGAGUAUUUUGAUACUUUGAGAGUUGCUGUUCGGUACAAGUUUCCUUCGACUUUCUAUCCGAUAUUUCAAUCAGAAGUACCGUUAUUUUGAGGUAAGGGAUGUUAUUUUCUUCUUCAAUGAUAUUAUUUUCUUCAAUAUCAUUAUGCCGAAAUAUUGGUUUGAACUUUUUAAUCAAAUUUGGAACUUUUGUGUCGGGAUUACUAUUCACGUAUACGGCACUAUUCACGAAUACGACACUAUUCACCGAAAAAUCAAAUUUUCUCUUUUUCGUCCUAGAUGUCUUUUAUGGUUACUAUCUUUGAUUGUAUCCAUGUUUUGAUCUUUAUUUUUGAAUUCUACUUCACACUUGUUUAUUAUGGAGUAUUAUUGAAUUUGGAUAAACCGAAAUACGAAUUCAUAAUAUUUGUCCUUAUGUCUUACUGGAUUCGUUCUCUAAAAUGUUUUUCAUUAUCCUCAGUCCUUAAUGGUGGUUCUUUAUGAAUAUCUUUGGCCUGUAGUUCAAAGAUGAAUGAUUACCUGAUGAAUAUCUUUGGCCCGUAGUACAAAGAUGAACAGGUGUUGAGAUGAACAUGACCAACUGGCACUACAAGAAAUCACACAUUUUAUGAUGAAAAUUUUUGCCACGCACAAAAUUUUGUCACAAUUUGUUAAUUAAUAAUUACGAAAUUCAUAAUCGUCACUAAAACUUUUGCUUUUGUGACGACUUUUACUUUUGUUACUAUUAAUCAUUUAUAUCGUCACUAAUUUACACAUUUGAUGACGAUUAACAAAAUUUUGUCACAAGUUAUUUUGGUAGUAGAAUUUCGUACCAAAAUUUUGGAGGGAAAUCUUUUAGUGACAUUUUUUAAUAAUUGAUGACAGUAUUUAUUGUCACAAAAUAUUUCUUUCGAUGACAAUAUAAUUGUUUGUCAUUAAUUAUUUGUAAAAUUUAGUGACAAUGUGCUUUCGUCACUAAUGUUCACAUUUAGUGACGCCAAAUACAAAUUCGUCACAAUUUUAUUUGGAGGCAAAAUUUUGGAGGGAAAUUUUUUAAAGACGAAAAAAUAAUAAUAUUGUCAUAAAUACCAAUUUUAUAUGACGAGAUAAUAGUUUGUCACUAAUUAGAUGAGUGGAUAAGUGACGAAAAUGGGUCGUCAUAAAUUCUUAUAUUUAGUGACAAAGUACGUAAUAUCGUCACAAUUUUAUUUGGAGGCAAAAAAAUUUUCAUUCUAUUUUUAAAAUGGCUUGUGGGUGUAUAUAAGUUAUAUAUAUAUUUUUUUUUAUAAAAAUUGUUCUUAAAUUAAUUAAUUUGAUUAAGAGAAGAGGUAAUUCACUAUAUGAAGUCCUAUAUAAAAUGAGCCAAAGUACACAUCUACAGUGAGUAAUUCAGUGUUUGAUAAGUUAGGAAUAUUUUUAUUUCUUGAAAAAUCAAGAAUAUUUCUUGAAGGUUAUUCAAGCCUUUGAGGAUGACACUUAUCUUAGUUUUUCAUUUUCAUAUACUUGUUAUCUGAGUAGAAGGGCUCUUUGUUUGCAGUCCGAUCUUGCUGCGAAGAUAAUUGGAAUGCUUUUGGAAAUGGACAACUCGGAACUGCUUUUAUUAUUGGAGUCGCCAGAGUCUCUAUCUGCCAAAGUGGAAAAAUCUGUGCAAGUGUUCAAGCUCUCUAAUUGACCUGUAUUCCAAGUGUGCAGAACUUGUGGCUGCUCUCUUUCAACUGAAUGAUCGGAGGGUAUUGCCAAGCUGGCUACUGUGGCAAAGCCCACGAUCUCUUCAUGAAAAUGCAUGAAUCAGAUGUACAACCAAAUGUUAUCACGUGGAAUGUGAUGAUCAAUGGAUAUAUUAAAAAUUAAGAUGAGGAUCAAGCUAUGGACCUUUUUCAUAUGAUGGAGAAUGAUGGGAACAUUAAGCGGGAUACUGCAACAUGGAAUGCUCUUAUUGCUGGCUACUUGCAAAAUGGGCACAAGAACAAGGCACUAGGUAUAUUUCGCCAGAUGCAAUCCUUUUGUGUUAGACCAAACUCAGUUACCGUUUUGAGCAUUUUACUUGCUUUUGCAAAUGUAGUUUCAGCUAAAAAAGUUAAAGAGAUUCAUGGUUGUGUAUUGCGCAGAAACUUAGAGUUUGAGCUUGCUGUUGCAAACUCGUUUAUAGACACUUAUGUCAAGUCUGGAAUUUUAUUGUAUGCAAUAUAUUUGAUGGGAUGCCAACCAAAGAUAUUAUUAGCUGGAACACGCUGAUAUCUGGUUCUGUUUUAUAUGGUUAUCCUGGUGCUGCCCUUGAUCUCUUUGGUCAGAUGAGAGAAGAGGGAAUGAAACCAAACAGAGGUACAUUUGUGAGUAUUAUUUCUGCUUACAGUCUUGCCAAAAAGGUUGAUGAUGGGGAGCGAGUUUUCUCUAGUAUGACUCAAGAUUUUGACAUUUUACCAUGUUUAGACCAUUGUACAGCUAUGAUAGAUUUAUACAGUUGUAAAUUUUUUGUUAAAUCAUUCUGCAUAUUUUUACGCUUGCCAAAAAUUUAUAGUUUUGAAUUUUUUCCCCGUGCUUCUUGCCAAAGAUCUAAUGUUUUUCUUUUUCAAGAAAACAUGAGUCCAUAAUGCACUUGUUUUUCAUUUCAUUUUACUUACUUUUUCACUAAUUCUUAUUGCAGAGGCUGUGCCGAAACGGAUUUUAGAUUUGAUGAAUGUGGAAAAGCUUACUAGAGAAAAUGUGGCUAGCCAACUCCAGGUAAAAUCACUCAUCUUUCCUGCUUUAGUUCUGUACAAUUUCAACCUGUUUCAGUAAAUCAUUCUAAAAAUUUGCAAAUACAAAUGAUUCGAUCAAAUAUAGAUUUCAUCCUGUUUGUUGCAGCUUCUUUGUACUAGAAUAUACUUAUAGGUUAGAAUAAGCUGCUGGUAUGAUGUGCGUUACAGCUUCAUUGUAAUAGAGUAUACUUAUAGGUUAGAAUAAGCUGCUGGUAUGAUGUGUGUUGCAACUUAUAUGAAUAAGCAUUAACCAGAUUAUUACUUGAAAUGUUAUGGGCAAAAUUUACAAGUUGCUCAAUUGGUGAUUAUCACACUAAAGAUUGUGCAAUGUUUACUGAGUUAUCUAAACUGAAUAUGUAAGACCCCAACUUAUUAUAAAUAAAAUUGAAUUUUCCUUUAUUCAUUAUUCUAAAUUAAUAAGGGUUAAUUUGAUAUAAUUAUUUGGUUAUGGGUGAAAUGUGCAAAGUUUACAAAAUAAGCAAGUGGUUAUAAAAUAUUCAUUAUUGUCGGGGAAUAUUCGUUUGGUCGUGGAAUAUUCUUUUUGUCGGGAAUCUCCGUACGACGGCGCAGUCAUUGGUGGGCCCCAUAACGGAAAACGGUUGGAUGAAGGAAAACGACAAAGAUUGAGUUUUAUAAAUAACGACGUAAAUUGUUACCGUUAACACUGUUGGGUUACCUGGUGGUUAAAAUACAGUAAUACGCGUGGUUGCACAGUAGCACACGGUAUUGCACAGUAUUAUUGAAUUAUUGAUCCUUACGUAAGAAGGCACUACUCAAUAAUUGUUACAGUAGUUACUGUUCAAUAUUAUAUUUUAUUGAUUCAAUAAUUGCUGCGUUGAUAUUUUGUAUUGCUGUUGUUUCAAUAAUUGUCAUUACACAGUAUUUUCCAUUAUCAAAUCAAUAAUUCAUAUUAUUUGAAUAAUAUUAUCAGAUAACAUUAUUGGCAAUGUCUAGAAAGUUCUGUCUAAGGAGAGGUUUGGUCACCUAAUUGCGCGCCAGUAAGGAGAAAUCCUUAUUGGAAAGCCCCCUCUUUCCUGGGAACGGCCUGGUUGUCAGUACUGUGAUUCUGUAAUAUUAUUUUUAAAUAAUUAAUUAUUGAUUAUUAUGAUAAAGAAAAUAUUUAUUUUAUGUGGAUAUAGAUGGAGAAAAUUUUUAAUGUGACAAUUGUUGAAAAUUAAUAUUUUAUCUUUUUCUGAUAAAAUAAUUCAUUUAAAUAUAUUAUUUUAAUAAUAUAUUAACGGUGAUAUUUUUAUAAUGAAUGUGGGAUAUAUGAGUAUAUGAGGAGGUAGAGUAUUUUGUGGCAUUAAAUGUUUAACAUAUGUUUUGUGUGUCGGUGGACACAAUUCUUGACCGAAAAUUGAUUAUAGACUGUAAAAUCGUCCGUUUAUGGAUUUCGGUCAAUUUCUGUUUGGAAUUUGGAAAAAUUUUCUUCUGCAAAGUUGUAGAGAAUGGAAUUUCCCAUGGAAAGUCGCGAGUUUCGAAUUUUUCUGAUAAACGAGCUAUUUUCUACGAAUUAUUGAAGUUUCGGAAGAUAAAAUAAUUUUUAUUAAAUAAUGGGUGGGACCCACUCUUGUUUGAACAUGUGGGCUGCUGGAAAUUGGGUCAAGGUUGGCUGGUGGCUGAAGUGUUCAAAUGGCAUGCGUAGAAAUGUAAUUUUAAAUAAUAAUAAUUUAUUAAUUUAGUCUCCUUUGGCGUUCUAACAUUUUCCUAUAAAUAGAGGGCUAAGUUAGAAUUGAAAAUCACACCAGAAACUAAGUUUUCUCUCUUUCUCUCUCUAAAUUAUCGAGCGUAUUCUUGUGAGUAUACUUUGAGUGUUGCUAUACGGUGCGGGUUUCUGUCAGCACUAUACCGAAAUUCAGUCAGAAGUACGGUUAUUUUGAGGUAAGGGGUAUUAUUUUCUUCUUAAAUGAUAUUUUUUCUUCAAUAUCAUUAUGCCGAAGUAUUGGUGAACUUUUUUAUCAAAUUUGGAACUUGUUGUGUCGGGGUUACUAUUCACGUAUACGGCACUAUUCACGUAUACGACACUAUUCACGAAUACGGCACUAUUCACCGAAAAAUAAAAAUUUUUCUUUUUGUCCAAAAUAUCUAUUCUGGAUACUAGCUUUGAUUGUAUCCAUGUUUUGAUCAUUCUUGAAUUUUACACCAAUAUGAUUAUUUUCGAAGUAUUUUUGGACAUGGGUAAAACAAAGUACGAAUCCUUAAUCCUUAAUCCUUGUCAUUUUGUUUCACUGGAUUCGUUUCUUUAAAAAUGUUUUUCAUCAUCCUCAGUCCUAAAUGGUGAUAUAAAUGAAUAUCUUUGGCCUGUAGUGCAAAGAUGAACGAUUAACUGAUGAAUAUCUUUGGCCUGUAGUGCAAAGAUGAACAGGUGUUGAGAUGAACAUGACCAACUGGUGAUACAAAUGAAUAUCUUUGGCCUGUAGUGCAAAGAUGAUUAAAGAUGUAUAUUGAUUGUUAUUACAGGGAUAAACUAUUGAUGAUGGACUUUUAAACCUUAGAAGACAGUAGAAUUCUUUCUCUACGUGACUCUUCUAAUGGAUUGCUGUUUCCGCUGCAUUUGUUGAUCUAAAACUUGUUGUCUAUUGUAUUCUAUUAGAUUUUUCCCUGUUGAAGACUAACGAUAAUUUGUUGUAUAUUAUCUUAGUCAUAAUAUUCUUUACUGGGCUAGUUGAGCUCACCCUUUUCCUUUUUGUUCCAUUUUUCUUCUCAGGAGGUGAGAACAUAGCAGGAUCGAGUCGGGGUAUGGAGUGAUGGUGCUAGGAAGAUAUUUUAGCUGUCCUCACUAUUUCUAUAAAAUAGUGUAUGAAUAAUUAAUGAGGACUUAUUUGGGUGUGUAUAUUGUCUAGAAGACAAUAUUUGUAUUCGAACUCAUAGUUGUAUUGUCGUAUUCUACACGACAUCUGUAUUGUCAAAGUUGUAGUUUGCUUUCUAUAUCAUGUAUUUUGGCGACUCAGAAUGGGUGUUGUAUACCUAUUUUGGGGGCGUCACAGAAUACCUUUAAGAAAAUUCAUUAAAAUUUGUGUAGCCUAAAUGAUCUCAAUAACAGCGAUAAGUACACAUCAAUUUUGUAGUGAUUUGAGAAAUUUGAAAACAAAAUUGUAUUUGAUUUUCCGGUGAACACCUUUUAUGCAUAUGCUUUUGUGACCUUUUAUGAAAAAAGUUUUCUACAUUCUGUAGACCUUUUAUUUACAAAAGUUAUGUGGGUAUUGUGAAUAAAGGCCACUAUGAUUUCCAAAUAGUGACUCUGGCAAAUAAAUGUCUAUGCACUUUAUCUAUAUAAUUUUCCGAAUGCGUGUUCACAAUUUUUAUGUUUCAUAUUGAGGAAUAUUUGUUUCAUAUCCGGAUCUUUGUCUCUUAAGUUUGUCGAAUUCAUGUUUUAGAUCCUAUGCCAAACAAAUGCUCCUCUAACAUUCUGCUACAUUUAAUUAUGUUAACUUUAUGACAAGUAUAAUUUCCACCAUGAAGAAUGCAGCCCAAUUUAGAUAUUAGAGAUAACAGUAAUUUAGGUAAGGUUGGCCUACAUGCAAAACACUUGAGAAGUAAAUCUGCAUGCCUUUGUGACAGGUCCCAAUCACAAUUCACUUUGAUAUUGGGAAUUCCAAGAAAGAGUUGAUGGAAGUUCUAGAAUUAGUAAGCUGUCUUGCUAGUAUAUUGAAGUAGAUAUUUUAUGUAACUCUAUUUUGGUUACUUUUCCAUUGAAUUUUGUAAUGUUCAAAUUAGAACUAUUGAGCUUUAAUGUAUCAUUCGCAAUCUACUUAUCAAUACAAACCAUUGCAGAGAUUCGAUUCAGUCAUGAUAGAUGGUUCAGAGUUUCCUUUCAAAGAGAAUAUCUCAUACAUGAAAUUCAUUUCAUCCUUGGCACAUGCAAAAGGUAUGCUAGUGGAAGCUGAACUAGGAAGAUUGUCAAGAACUGAAGAUGACUUGACAAUAAAAAAUUAUGAAAGCAACAAUGACCGACAUUAAACAGGUUUUUUUUUAUUAAUUUAUUUAUUUCGCCCCAGUUGGUUAAACUUUCAUCUCGGUUCUUUUACAAUAAUAGUAUACUUCAGCUAAAGCCAAGAAUGUAUCUGCAAAGAAUAAGGAGACCUUUCAGCUAGAAAUCUAGAAGAAAUAUAAAGAGAUCUUGGGACGGCCUGAUGUAAAGCAGAAAAUAGAGGUGCUGAAGGAUGAAAUCAGAAACUUUGGUGCGUCUGGAGUUCACGUGAAAAUAGUUCAUGCACAUGGUGGUCAUUAGCUCAUUAAUUUGCACUUGAUUGUGAAAAUAGUUCAUGCACAUGUUCAUGUAUUUGAGUAUUAAUUAACUGCAUUCUUCUGUUGGUAAGGCAGAGUUUGUUGCUCAGUUCUGCUAGCGUUAUUGUAAUAACACGAUGAUUUUAUUUAAAGGGUUGGAAUUUAUUAGUCAUCAUCUUGGUGUAAUCUUUUUUCUUAUUUCUAGAUCUAUAAUUUUAUAUUUAGUUUUUCAUUCGGUUACAACAAAUAAUUUUGUCACUAUUAAUAACUUUUUAUGUGACGAGAUGUAUCGUCACCAUAAACAUUAUUGACAUUAAAAAAUGUGUCCCAAAAAAUAACUCUUUCGUGACAAAUUAUUUUGUAAUAUUAUUUAAAAUAUGAAAUGACAACGACAUAAUUGUCAUGUUAAAUAUAUUAUUAGGUGACGAAUUGUUCUGUCGUCAUUUAUUUUUUUUAUUUUUGGUGACGAUAAACACAAUAACAUGAUGAAAGAAUAAUCAUAAAUAUGACAAUAUUGUCGUCAUUAAAAUUAGAUAAUUUAAAUUGAGUAACAUAUUUUCAUCACUAAAACAAUAUCAUUUAAUGACGAAAAAUAAUUUUUUCAUUUAAUGCACCAAGUUUUGUUGACGAAACAUAAUAUAGAGUGACGAAAGUUUUAUUCAAAUAGUGACGCUAUUAACGUCACUAAAAGUAAUUAAUUAUAGUGACAAUGAUGUAAAUCGUCACCAGAAGUCAAAACAUUUAGUGACGACAUAUAACAUUGUCAAAUAUACCUAAUACCACGCUCAUACGGUGACGGUCUCUGUGACGAUUAACAAUCGUCACCAAAUGUUUUAGUGACGAAAAAUGAAUUUUAUGUGACAAAUUUUAGCGUCAUUUUUUGUGUGAUUUCUUAUCGUGUGGUGAUACAAAUGAAUAUCUUUGGCCCGUAGUGCAAAGAUGUAUAUUGAUUGAUGUUACAGGGAUAAAAUAUUGAUGAUGGACUUUUAAAUUCAUAGAUGAUAGUAAAUUUCAUUCUCUACUUGACUCUUCUAAUGAAUUGUUGUUUCCGCUGCAGUUGUUGAUCUAAAACUUGUUGUCGAUUAUAUUCUAUCAGAUUUUUUCCUGUUGAAGACUAAAGAUAAUUUGUUGUAUAUUAUCUUAGUCAUAAUAUUUUUUACUGGGCUAGUUGAGCUCACCCUUUUCAUUUUUGUUCCAUUUUUCUUCUCAGGAAGCGAGAACAUAGCAGGAACUAGUCGGGGUAUAGAGUGAUGGUCCUAGACAAUUGUUUUAGCAGUCCUCACUAUUUUUUGUAAAAUAGUACAUCAAUAAUUAUAAUGAGGACUUUAUUUGGGUGUUGAUAUUGUCUAAAAGACUAUAUUUGUAUUUAAACUCACAGUAUGUGUUGUCGUAUUUUGCACGACAAUUGUAUUAAUAAAGUUGUAGUUGUUUUUCUGUACCAUAUUUUUGGCGACUCAGAAUGGGUGAUGUAUACCUAUUUUGGGGGCGUCACAGAUAUGAUCGACGUGAUCAAUCAACUUCGCAAACAGACAUCACGACCCUUGGAGUUGGACUUUACCCCUCCUUACCCUGCACACAUUCGGAGGCAACCUUACCCAACAAGGUAUAUUGAACAUCCCCCGCAGUUUCCAAAAUACAACGGGGAGAAAGGAAAUGCCAGGGAACAUAAUGCAAGGUUUGUAGAGUCAAUGUCUCCAUGGCUUGGAUAUGAUGAAGUGAACAACCACAACUUGUUGAUGCGGUAAUUCAACAAGACUUUGACGGAUAGUGCCUUUAGUUGGGACUACAAUUUGGAGAAGGGGUCAAUCCAUGAUUGGGAUGACCUAAAAUUACAAUUUUUAAAGAAAUUUUUCCACGUGCAGAAACAGGUAACCAUUGUGGAGCUCAUGCGGUUCAAGCAUAAACCGAAUGAGGAGUUGUCAGAUUAUGUUGACUGGUUCAGGGCCCAGGCACAGAAGUGCGCAGAACCGAUUGAAGAAAAGAACUUAGUCAGCAUUUGCAACAAUGGUGCCUUAGAUGCUUUCAAGCCCCACCUCAUCACCAAGGCUUAUGAUUCCUUCGCGACCCUCUCAUCUUUUGCACAAGACUUGGGAGGAAUCAUGACAAUUCCCACUAACCAUGCGACGGUUACAUGGAAGGGCAAGAGGACAGCAAAACCAUAAGGAGGCAAGAGGGAGAAGCAUGAGAAGAAUUUUGAUCAAAGCAGAGGAAAGCUUGGAGACAAAUAUGAAAGAAAGCCAGUCCCGGAGGCUAUCACAUGUAGUGAGAAAGCAUUCAGGGGUCUGUAUGAACAAUGGGUUGAACAUUGGGUGGUGAAACCCCCAAGGCCUAGAUUUGCACUGACGGAAGAAAUGAAGAGAAGACCAGACUUCUGUGUAUUCCACCAAUACGCUGGACACUCAAUUAUGGACUGUUAUAGCCAGUGGAGGAUAUUCCACGAGAAGCUGGCAAAUGAGGAGAUUGAACUUGGAAAGGAAAGUAGCAUUCAUGAAAAACCGUUGCCAAACCACAAGGGGAAGGAAAUAUGCAACACUGUUAUUCACAGCACAAGCCCAGAAGUAGAGAUGAUGAUGGAAGAAAAGGAAGAGUGUGAUCCAGGCCUGCAGGUGAUAGCAUUGAUGAACGGAGCCAAGUACAGAAAUUUUUUUGAUCAGAUAGGAUUGGCCAAUGAAGCAAGGAUUGAGGCAACCAGGGCAAUUAUCAAGGCUGCCGAGACGCAGGAGACUUGCAUGGCCAUAAGUAAAGGAUUUGUAAAGACGAUGGAGGGAGAAGAAUAAGAUAGAGAGAUAAGAUACCCGCACAACAGGCCGCUGUAUGUGACAGUAGUAAUCAAUGGCAUCGAGGUGCGGAGUGCGUUCGUUGACAAUGGACCAUCUGUAAAUAUUAUGCCCUACACCGUGUUUAAACUGUUAGGCCUACCGGAGAAGAAGAUUGUGAAGGAACAAAUAAACAUUAUAUGAUUCGCCAACUAGAGCACAAGAACCUUGGGACACAUCAAGGUGGACAUACAAGUUGGGAAGAUUUGAGGACCUGUAAUGUUCCAUGUUGCCGAGGUGGAUGCAUCAUAUCAUGUCUUGCUAGGAAGGGCUUGGCAAAAUGACUACGGGGUGGUACCCUCGGUAUUUCAUCAAUGCUUGAAGGCUAUCUGGAAGGGAAGAGAAGUGAAUGUACCAGCAACUCGAAAUCCCUUUGGACCAGAGGAGGCACACAUCACUGAAGCAACUUUCUUUGAUGAUGUUGCUGAAGAGGGAGAGAACAAGAUUGCAAGACCUGAUUCCCUAAGACUAGCAAGCUGGGAGGAAGUGCAGGAAGAUAGGUUCGUAUUUACAGAAAAAGAGAAGAAGAAAACCUCAGAACACGGAGAAUGUUCUAAAAACAAGAAGCCAGUGGUAGUAGACCUAGAGAAAGAAGGAAGAGAAGAAAAGAAAAGGCCAGCAGACCUUGAAAAUGCCAGAAAUAUAAUAAAUGCCAAGCGGAUGACACAAUCUGACAAUGGCCAGAAGACAAAAUGGGAGAGGGUUGUUAAACCCGACGGAAAGGUGGUGUUUCGAUUAUGACGGUGCAAGGGGGAAGAGCCCAAGGAAGCGUGUGAACCCAAUGGCUCAGGAGGUGUCCCCCACUCCAGCAAUAAUGAAGAAGGAGGAGUUGUACAACAGAAGGUAGAACCAGCUCCGGAAUGCUUCGAGGAUAGGUCAAAACCUCAAAAAAAUGAAUUAAAAGAAGUUGAUUUGCCAACAGAGGGAUGAACGCCUAGACCAACUUAUGUUAACAAGUAGCUGGAUGCUAACCAGAAGGAGGAGCUUGUACAAUUAUUGCGAGAGUAUAGGGAUGUCUUUGCUUGGAAUUACGACGAGAUGCCAAGAAUUGACAAGGAUCUUAUGGAACACAAUCUAAACAUAAGCCUGGGAAAGAAACCAGUGAAGCAGACACCUCGCAACUAUGCACCCGAAGUCGAAACUCAAAUAAAGGAAGAGAUCAAAAAGUUGCUGGAAGUAGGGUUCAUCAAGCCAAUUCAACAUCCAACAUGGCUAUCCAGCAUUGUACCGGUAAAGAAAUCAAAUGGACAGCUACGAAUAUGUGUGGAUUUCAGAGACUUGAACAAGGCGUGCUCGAAGGACAUGUACCCAUUACCCAACAUAGACACUUCGGUAGAUGCAAUGGGUAAUCAUGAAAUGAUGUCAUUCAUGGACGGGUUUGUGGGUUACAAUCAGAUAAAGAUGUCCGUAAAAGAUGCAGAGUUGACAGCCUUUCGUACCCCAUUUGGGAACUUCUACUAUGUAGUAAUGCCAUUCGGGUUGAAGAAUGAAGGGGCAACUUAUCAAAGGGAAAUGCACGCUAUAUUUUAUGACAUGAUUCAUGAUAUAGUGGAGGACUAUGUGGAAGACGUAGUAGUGAAAUCCAAGAAGGCGAUAACUCAUGUGGAGGACCUGAGGAAAGUGUUUGAGCGAUGCCGAAGGUAUAAGUUGAGGAUGAAUCCGAAGAAGUGCACCUUUGGGAUGACGGCUGGAAAAUUCUUGGGCUUUUUGGUGCACAAUAGAGGUUUAAAAGUGGACCCAAGCAGAGAUGCCCCAACCAGAAACGCAGAAACAGUUGAAGAGCUUUCUAGGAAAAGUUUUAUACAUGAGAAGAUUCAUGCCAGCAUUAGCCGACGUCACAGAACCUUUCGACAAAUUGCUAAAAGGAAAGGAACAAUGGGACUAGGGGCAAGACCAACAACAGGCCUUUGAAAAGGUGAAAAGAAUUUUGGCUUCAGCGCAAAUGAUGGUAGUACCAUAAAGAGGAACGCCAUUGCAGUUAUACAUCACAUCUAUUAAGAAGUCCAUAGGUGGAUUGAUCACGCAAGAGGUGGAUGGAGAAGAAAAACAUGUGUAUUACAUUAGCCGGAUAAUCAGAGGACUGGAAACCAGGUAUUCACAGGUGGAAAGGCAUUGCCUAGCAUUGGUGUUCAUUGCGCAGAAAAUGCGGCAUUAUUUUUUAGCACACGAAGUAAAGCUUGCAACAAAAACUGAUACAAUCAGAUACCUAUUAACUAAGCCAGCAUUAGUAGAAAGACCUGCCAGAUGGAUGAUGAUUUUUUCAGAGUACGACAUCAAGUGUGUAACACCGAAGGCGAUCCGAUGUCAAGCCUUGGCAGACCUGCUGGCUCAAUUUCCAAAUGGAGAAUAUGAACCCCCUUCUGAGGACUUUUCGGGUGGAGAAGUAAAAUCAAUCGAGUUGAUAGAUGAGGACCUAGAAUGGUGGAGUUUGGCUUUUGAUGGAUCAUCUGCAGAAGGUAAAGGCAGAGCAGGAGUGGUGUUGACCACCAAAGAAGGAAAUGAAGUGGCCUUGUCAUACAAAUUGGAUUUCCCUUACACAAACAACGAAGCAAAAUAUGAGGAGUUCAUACUAGGAUUGUUGGCGGCUCAAGUAUUGGGAGCUAAACAUCUUAAAGUAAAGGGAGAUUCAAACCUCAUAGUGCAACAGAUAAGAGGCCAAUUCGGAGUGAAGGAACCUAUCUUGGCGCCAUAUCGAACUGUAGCACAAAAGGUGAUGGAGGCUUUCAAGAAGGUGGUGAUUGAAUAUGUGCCAAGAGGACAGAAUAAACAACCUGAUGCACUAGCAAUAGUAGCAUCUCGAGUCUAUGUCCAAGGUGAGGAUUUGGAUGUAAAGGUAAUGAAGAGAAUCCUCCCAACCAUGCUGCUAAAUUUGUUCCCCAAAGACAUGAUAGAUGAUUGGCGAUAUGACAUCUCCCAUCAAUUGCAAACAAAGGAGGGAACAAUACCUACCGUGAAGUUACAGAAGUAUAACAUCAUCAAGGGUGUCUUGUAUCCCAAAGAAGCAGACAGUGUAUUGACACGAUGCUUAGGGAGGCAGGAAGCAAAUAGAGUCUUGCAACAGGUGCAUGACGAGAACUGCGGAUUGGUAGACAUAGGCUUGUAUCGUAGGCUGCAGCGUCAAGGGUAUUAUUGGCCUGAAAUGAAGAAGGAAACAGAUGCCCUACAACGCCAAUGUGUUUCAUGCCAAGAAUACCCCGGGGAGGAUGAAUGCACCUUCAUUGAAGACAUAGUGGAUUGGCGAAUCCCUUAUGUGGAGUUCUUACAAAGCGGAACUCUUCCGACCGAAAAGAAGGACGCAAUUAUAAUCAAGAGGAAGUCACAACGUUUCUUCUUACAAAAUGGAGAAUUGUUUAGAAGGGCAUUCAAUGGCAAGCCCCUACGGUGUCUAGAACUAGGUGAAGCCAAAGAUUUAGUUUACCAAAUGCACAAGGAUGAACACCAAAGGGGAGCCAAGUUGUACAAACAACUUAUUGAUCAUGGUUACUACUGGCCAAAGAUAGAGGGAGAUUGUCUAGAAUUUGUUAAAAAGUGCCACAUUUGUCAAAUACACACAAACUUGAUCCAUGCUUCCGCCGUGGAUUUGCGAACCUUGGCAACACCAUGACCCUUUCAUAUAUGGGGAAUGGAUCUUAUAGGUCCUGUUCAUCCUAAUUCCAAGGGUAACAUAUGGAUUUUAACUGCCACCGAUAUGUACACAAAGUGGGUGGAGGCAAUACCCUUGAAGAAGGCCACGGGACCAGCUGUGGUCAAUUUUAUCAAAGAGCACAUCAUUUGCCAUUUCGGGAUCCUGAAGAUCAUUUUGUCGGAUAAUGGAACUCCCUUCAUCAAUAGGGAUGUCAAAAAUCUGAUGGAAAGAUACAGGGUGAAACAUUACAAAUCAUCACCCUACUACCUAAAAGGCAACGGACAAGCAGAGGCUACAAACAAAACCUUGAUAAAAAUUUUAUCAAAAACCCUAGACGAUCAUCCGAAGACAUGGGCAAAAUAAUUACCAAUAGCGUUAUGGGCAUAUCGAACUUCAAAAAGGAAGCCUACAUGCGAGACCCCAUAUGCUUUGGUUUAUGGUGAAGAAGCUAUCUUGCCCGCUGAAAUAGAAAUACCUUCGGCUCGAAUGAGACUGCGAAGCUUGGUCGAGGAAGAAAACCGAUCAGCCGCCUUGGAAGCCUUAGUUGACUUCCAAGACAAGGCUAAAGAAAAGCUUAAACGGUACCAUGAAAGAUUGCGAAGACAAUACAAUAUCGCGGUGGUACCACAAUGAAUUCUGGUGGGAGACCUGGUGCUCAAAACGGCAACUCAAGUCAUGAGGGGGACCCCAACCACCAAAUUUUACCCAAAUGGGAAGGCCCGUAUAAGGUACGAGAGAUCUCCGAAAAUAGGUAUUGCAAAAUAUCUUGUGUGGGAUCAGAUGCUGUCUCAGGCCUAUUAAACUUGAAGUGGGUAAAGAAAUAUUACACAUGAGAAGAGCAUCACAAAAAGUUAUACUUUCAACUUCAAAAGUAAUCGAGGCACUUGACUAACAACCCUCGGAAGUUACACUUUCAACUUCAAAAGUGAUCGAGGCACCUGACUAAGUACAGCCCUCGGAAGUUACACUUUCAAACUUCAAAAGUGAUCGAGGCACCUGAUUAACAACCCUCGGGAGUUACACUUUCAACUUCAAAAGUGACUGAGGCACCUGAGUAUAAGCCCUCAACCCCGAAAGUUACACUUUAUCUUUAAAAGUGGUAAACUUUAUGCUUUAUUCGACAAAAGCAAGAAAGUUACACUUUACCUCUAAAAGUGGAAAACGUUAUUCUUUCUUCGACAAAAGCAAGAUUUACUGAUAAAACGUUAUGCUUUUCGUUAAAAGCAAUUUGAUUAUCAAUAAAUUGAUAAACUUUCACUUAUACUUGAAUGUUUUUUUUAAUUUCUUAAAAAAAAAGUCAAGUGUUGGUUUGUGAAAUAUGUAUAUAUAUAUAUAUACAUGUUUUUGAUAAAAUUCAUGUUUACUUGUUUAUAAUACCUAUUGUUGUCUUGGAAUAUUAAUUUGAAUAACUUGAGAUUUAAUGAUAAAUAUUGAGUUGUAAGGAAUUAUUCAAAUUAAAAGAAAUCAACAAGGUAAAAGAAACUACAUUUUGAUAAAAUGAAAUAUGUGUAAAUGAGUUUCUAAACAAGAAAUCGAAAAAAAACUACUACAACAAGUUAUGAUCUAAAGGCCAAUACAUAUCAAGAUGAAGUGGAGGCACAGCUAAAGCUUCUAAGUCAGCAACGGCAGCAUCUCGAAUCUUAAGAUUUGCAGCUUUCAGUUCCCUAACCUGUCGGGUAGUUGACUCUAAGUCCCGUCGCUGGCGCUCUACCUCCCGAAGCUGGCCCUCUAAAUCUUGAGAUUUGAUCUUCAAUUUGUUGGCAACUUCGUCAAGCUCAGUAAGCUGAAUUGAAAAGGAUUCAUCUUCACACUUACGUACAGCAACCUCUGAAUGAAAUGAAACAAGAGCAAAACUUGACUUAAGAAGAGCCAACCUAUCACGGAAAGGAGACAUGUCAAAACCUAUGGCUGUAAGAUCGUCUACAAUAUCGAUAAACUUCUUCAAGUCCUCAACUCGCAAAGAAUAUAAAGAAAGAGUGUGCAACCCAAGAAUAAGGCCUGCGAGCUGAUCUAGGAAGAAGAGUUGGGCGGAAGUUUCCUUAAUAAUCAAUCGGUCAAGUAUCCGCAGGAACCGAGCUAGGAGACGCUCCAAAUUUUUUAGACUAGAAGAUGAUAUCUGGAAACCCCUCCAAGAAAUAAGAUCCCCCUUUGGAUUGAAGGAAGCUCCGGUAGGAACUACUUUAGAGGUCAUCAUGGAAUUUAUUAAGCAAGAGAUGGAGGAGCAGAGGGAUGCUGUAGGGCUGAAGAUUCCUUGAAGCCUUGGUCACCUGGAGGAUAACCAAGGUCACUAUAUGGAGAAUGGGAAACAUCCGGAUGGAGAGCAUCAAAUAGAGCGAGUGCCUCAACAGGAAAAGGCAAAUCUUUCAUCUUCUUGCUCUAAAAAACAAAAUGUCAAAGCACAAUAUAUUCAAGACAAAUCAUAUGUUGAUUAAAGAAGGAUACUCACAAUAUAGUCAAUGGAAAAGGAGUCGGGAGAUGCCACAGAAAGGAGAAUGUUAUUCAACCCACCCAAAGUUUUAUCAACAAUGCCCUCCCGAGCAAUCACAAACUCGGUAGAAUCCUUCUGGGGAGGAUGAACAUCACCAAUAAUUUCAGAAUGAUUCCCCCUCGGGGAAGUAAGAGCCUCAUCAACAUCUUCACACUCAUCAUGAGGAGCAGACAUAGGAAGGUGUGAAAAAAUAGCUGUAUCACCCACAGCAGGAAUCGAUCUCACAUCGGAUAAGGUGUCCUUAGCAUCAAGACUAACACAAUCAUCGCGAGGAGUAGAUGACUCAAUAUCAAUAAGGACAGGUUGGGGAGGCUCACAACUAGUGGAAACCGCCGCGGCCACCUCAUUGGCAGUACUACACAUAAGCCCAAGAGGAACGUCAUCAUCAUCAGCAUCUUCAUCGACCACGGUAACCUAAAAAAAAUAAAAAAUAAAAAAAUAUAUAAAGGAAAAAAUUACUCAACGAUAUGUGAAAGUAGUAAUAUAAGGGAUGCAAGAAAAACGAGAAUAGUACAGCAAAAAAAAAAUUACCAAAUUCCUACUGCGCUUCUUGGUCGAAUCCUAAGCUGCCGGUAUACUAGAAUCAGCACUAUCAAGAGGGCGUUUUGCCAAUGGCUUUAUGAUAAGCCUAAUAGGAGGAGGACGACUGACUGGAACCACAUCAGAAGCAAUAGGAGGCACUACUUCAGAAUCAGUAGUAAUACCUGCUCUCCUUUUAGAACGAGUAACUCUCAUUGCCUCAGCAUCAGAGGAUCCCUGGGGAGGAACUGGAGGAGACACCCGAAGUGGAGCUCGUGGUGGAAGACUCCUGGAAGUGGUGGUGGCUUGUGAGGGAAGAGUAGUUAGAUCAUCUCGAAGAGGAAUAUCUACUAACUAAGGGGGAGACGAUUUAGGCAUCAAAAUGUCACGCUCAGCCAACCAACUACUGGCUGGCCAGAGUACUGAUCGAACAUUGGGCUUGGGAGAGCAUAACAGUCGUCCCCGUUAGAGACAUUUCGGAAUAGAAACUGGCAAUGAACAAAUCAAGGUAUCAUCAUCCCAUCUUUUAAGAUUGACCUGCCAAUAAUUAUGUUUGCAAGUAGUAUAUCGCCCGCUCCGGGAAUUAUCUGGUAUGACAAAAGGAAAGGGUCUAUAAGGAUCACUUGGUAGCCUCGAAAAUUCCCAUGUAAAAGAUGGGGAAGUACAGACGAAAUUGAGAAGAGCAGCCUCAUAAUUUCCCCGGCAGGUGUGACCGAAAGGGCGUUCCUGGUCAUAUCCGAAUUGUCUCAUGACCCUGUGAGGAGAAUACAGUAUAGUGCCAAAACUAUUAUUCUCAAGGAAAUAGGGAAGCUCUGUAGACCGAAGGAAAAUGAACCAAGACAGUGCAGAACCACUCAAGCUAGUCUUGUUGAGGCAUGAGUAGGUACGAAAUUUGUGCUUGUAAAAAUGAGGUACAUGACCGCAACCCUCUGAAGUAAUGGUGUAGGGACGGGCAGUGAAGCAUGAAUAAUCAUCAAGGAAAAACCGCAAAUCAGUACUAUCAAGGCUAAAUCGGUGAUCAAUCCAACGUGCCAUACGAGGAAUGACGUUGAGUGAUGAAAAAAGAGGAGAUUUCUUCUUUUGCUUAGAGGAAUAGCCCGAAAAGCGUUCGAAAGGAAAAAUCUGAAGGAAGGAGCAUGAAAGGAAGCAAUUGACAUCGUACCUGAAUGAAUAAAAGUAAAAUAAGAAAAAGGUUAAAGGAAAAGAAGUGCGGUUGUAAAGAAAAAUAUAUAUAUGAAAGUGAUUACCUCCCAACGGAUUCUUUCAUGGCAAGGGUUGUUUCGUCUAGGCGGCGAUAUAAGCUCCCUAGGAAGAGAGAAGCAAGGGGAAUCUCUGAGCCCUGGGAUAAUAACGCUGCCAAGCUGAACAUACGGGCAGAAGGACCGUCUGUGGGAGAUCCAGGGAAGAGAAAGCGGGACAAGCACAUAGCCAGCUAAGCUGCCAGAAGAAAAGGACAAGUCUCUCCACGGAGGGCAAGAACAGUUUUGUCAUGAAUAGAGCUGUCCCACUGGUUGGUCUUGUAGUCACGGAAGAAGUAACGUACCCAGGAUAACCAAGAAUUUUCUGCCGACUAGAGGUCUCGAAGUCCGGAAGGAGUAUAUCGCCCUUGAAACGGGAAGUGAAGUGGGAAGAUUGCUUGAAGGCUUCUAUCAAGUAGUUAACACAGUCGUCAUCUCUAGUGGACAUGCUAGAAGGGUCGCAUGAGUUCGAGGCAACAAUGGGAAGGCUACAAGAUGUAAUUCAAAAAAUAAAUAUAUAUAUGUUUCAGAAAAAUGAGAAUGAAUUAAAGGAAUAAGAGAAGAGAACUUACUGAUAGAGGGCAUAAACAUACUCUAGAGUAGGGGUGAAUUCCCCCUAGGCAGUGAUGAAUGUGCAAGUAGAGGAACACCAUCGGGAGAUCAACACAGUAAGAGCGUUAUGGUCAUGGUGGAUACGUAGGCCUCUACACAGUUGAACACAACGAAAGAUGCUCACAUUCUUGAGUAUUCCCACGUAUUCAGCGUUUCCAAGGAUCUCAUCGGUCCAAUCCUGCCAUCCUUGAAGGCGAUUAGAUGAAUCAGACAGGAAGCGAAGGGGACUGAAAGGGUAUUCUUGCUUCUCUAUGCAUAGGCGGGGAAUGUAAUUGGCAUGGGGGAAGUCAUCCCAACCUCCACAAUAUGGGGCAUACAGAAACAAGCCUUCUUUCUCUGGUGGAGGAAAAGUCGCACGAUCAUAGUCUUUAACUCUAUCCCAAAAGACGUCAGAAGGACCAAAGAAGGGAGCUCUCCCCCAAUCGGUGAUGAAGGGGGACUCCUUGGCAGUUCGUGGUCCUGCAGAGCAUUCAGGUGAAAGGGCCUACAAGCAGGGGGAAGUUCAUUAUAACAAUUCUAAAUAAAGCAAAGGAAGGAUGUCGAGUAUAGUAUUUGAGCUUGAAGUACUCACCAUGGCAAAGAGGAAAAUUUGAGAGUAAAGCUUCAAAAUACCUGAAAAGAAGAAGAAACAAUGUCAGAGAAGAAUCAAAAUCACAAUUAUGAAAGAAAAAAUUUUCUGAAAUUUUUUCGAAAAACAUCAAAUGGCCAAAAGGCACCCUUCGGAGCUAAUUUUUGACUUAUUCUGGUAUGUGUCAUGGCCGCUGGCCAUGACAUUUGUAGUACUUGGCGAUACGGUCGUUUUGAUAUAUUAUGGGCCCUGAAACUCCAAACAAGUCAAAAGUUACGAUUCAAAUAGUAACUGCACCUCCUAAACUUCAUUUUUUCGCCUAAACAGUGAUCAUCCCCUAGGGUUUGGCCCCCUAGGGUUCGGUCAAAAGGGGUGGUUUCCCAUAUGCAAAAAAAAAAUAGUAAGGUUCGGCUCCUAUAGGGUUCGGCCCCCCUAGUGGGUGUUCCUUCACCCUUAAAAAAAAGGCGGCUUUCCCCCUAUAGGGUUCGGCCCCCUAGGGUUCGGCCCCCUAGGGGGAUUCUUUUGUAUACCUUUGAUAUUCUGAUACUCCACAAAUCAACUUUUUAGGGCGAACGCUUCUUAAUUUGACGCGACAAAUAUUGUAUCUUCCUUUAUUAUCCGAGGGAGCCCUACCGAGAUAUGAUCAAGGUAACGGGGCUCGGAAGACAAAAGAAAGGUUACAAUGGCCUGAAAAGAAAAGUAAAUGAAACAAGUCAGGAGGAAGUUCUAUAGAAAGCAUUCAAAUAAACAGAAAAUUGAAAGCAAAGGCAAGAAAAUGAAAUGGAGCCCUAAGGGUUCGGGUUCAACCCCUAGGGUUCGGCCCUAUGGGGAGGAAUUCUAUUUUCUUACCUCCUGUUCGGAAUAAAGAAUGUUUCCUUGUUGCCUCCUUGAUGUUUUUCCAAGCUCACAAAAAGAGAGGGAGUCCAAGAUGAAGCAAGACAAAAAGAAAAGCCUAAGUGACUUGGGAGAUGUAUAUAUAUGUAUAUGCAUAUAUUCUCCAAGUAUGCUUGCAACAGAAAAGGAAGCAACCUCUAUUUUCCUAUUAAGAAAAAUUUCGAAAUAUAAAGAUAAGUUUAUUUGAGCUUACUUCUAAAUAAAAAAUAUAUAUAUAUAUGGAAAUUUCGAAAUUUGUAUAUAUUUUAAUGGAAUUUCGAAAAAAGAAAAGAAAAGAAAAUAAAAUAAUAAUAAUAUAUUUUUGAUAUUUUAUUCCUAACAAUAGGGAAAUUUUGAAAUUAAUAUAUAUAUAUAGGGUUAAGUUCAGAUGACCACCUGGGGUUUGGGCGGUUUCCCACUUAACCACCUGUAGUUAGUAAAGCUACAUUUAAACUCUCGAUUUUUUGAGUUGAAGUGAAUAACUGCUUUCUGUCAUAACUCUGUUACUUAAGUUGGAUAAAGACUUAAAUACCCUCUUUAUAUAUAAACGACAGAUGAACAAAAUGCAUACAUUUACAUCAAAUCAAGCAAUUCAAGAACUCUUCAAACUAAAACAAAAUAAAAAAGAACAUGUGUAUACCAAAUUACCAAUCAAAAAACGAAAAAUAACAACUGAAUUUGAACAACGAAAUUCUGGGUUUCAACAAUGUCAUAAUUUCAUCAACAUUCUCCCAAAUGGGUCUUCAAAAUUAGAAGAAAAAAAGAAGAGGAAAUCUUCAGGAACAAAUGCAAACAUAAGAUGAUCUUUAGGAAAUCUUUUUCAUUACAUGCCUGUUAGAAGCUGGCUCUAAGAUCAUGAGCUCCCUUAUGAUGAACACCAACAGGCCAUAAAAUGAAGCUCCCUGCAUUUUUUUGAACUCUCCAAACAAUAAGUGACUUCGACAUACUAUAUACAAAUCUAAACAAUUGGUAAGCUUUAACUUGAGAUGAUCAAUGUAGACUGCAAGAAAAUUUUUUUCAAGAGUUCAUUACUCGCAAGGAAAUCCACCAUGUUUAGCUAGGAAACUAUAACAAACAGAACCUUUUAAUAAGAUCCACAUAUGACAAGAAACCUUCAUGUUAAUGAAAAUUCCUCUGCUAAUUUCUAUCAUUUCAUAAAUCAGGGUUAUUGCACAUAAAACCUCCAACGUGAUAAGAAAUACAGACAAUAGUACAGCCAAAAAAAACUAAUUUAUAGUCACCAGUGAUACAAGAUUCACCAUUUCUUUCUAAUACCCAAAAGUAUUUUACACUCGCAAAAUAUCAAUUUUGACUAUUGGCUUUCUCAUUUUGCACAUACUUCAGCACUCCAUAGGCAACUGUUCUAGUAAAAAAAUAAGAUAAUUGUCGGGGUAAAAGAUGGGUAAACAUACUUCACACAGAAAUUAUCCCAUUCUUCUGUGAUUGUGAUUUGGCAGUCAUUGCGAUUUGGCACCAUUUGACACCCAAAAAAUAGCUAAAAUUUUAAGCUGGUUAAAACUUAAAGGAAACCAACAAGGUACACACUUAACAGCCUAAUACGCCUCACAUGACUACAAAUCAAUUACGUCAAAAAAAUUAACCACAACAUAAAUCUCCCCAGACUUAUUCCAACAAGAAGAUUUGUUUACAGAGAGACCAAAUAUGUUGCUGCUAAAUAUUCCAUUUUUGAGGACUCAUGAGCAAUUCAGGGCUCAGGUAAACAGAUCUUCGACUUGAGAACAGGGGAUGGGCUGACUUCUAAUUUAGGGACAAAGAAAGAAAAGCAAAUGACGUAUAUGCAAAGGCUUUUUCGACAAAGGGUUGUUGGUGGGUGAGGUCAUUAGGAGUGACUUGAGAUCUGCAACUGGAGAGGNNNNNNNNNNNNNNNNNNNNNNNNNNNNNNNNNNNNNNNNNNNNNNNNNNNNNNNNNNNNNNNNNNNNNNNNNNNNNNNNNNNNNNNNNNNNNNNNNNNNNNNNNNNNNNNNNNNNNNNNNNNNNNNNNNNNNNNNNNNNNNNNNNNNNNNNNNNNNNNNNNNNNNNNNNNNNNNNNNNNNNNNNNNNNNNNNNNNNNNNNNNNNNNNNNNNNNNNNNNNNNNNNNNNNNNNNNNNNNNNNNNNNNNNNNNNNNNNNNNNNNNNNNNNNNNNNNNNNNNNNNNNNNNNNNNNNNNNNNNNNNNNNNNNNNNNNNNNNNNNNNNNNNNNNNNNNNNNNNNNNNNNNNNNNNNNNNNNNNNNNNNNNNNNNNNNNNNNNNNNNNNNNNNNNNNNNNNNNNNNNNNNNNNNNNNNNNNNNNNNNNNNNNNNNNNNNNNNNNNNNNNNNNNNNNNNNNNNNNNNNNNNNNNNNNGAGGGGGGAAGACAGAAGAACAUACCCGAUUCUUGCUCUUCUAGCUCUUGAACUUGUGGAUCUUCCUGAUUAGGGUCUGAUUUUUUUGGGUUUUGGGGAUCUUGAUUUUCUAGGGUUUGUGGUGAUUGAGGUUGAGAACGUGUCGUCGCAGGUGAGAAAAUGGCAAGCGUAGAGAGAGGAUGUAGGUGAGAGCUGGGUUGGAGAAUAAGGGGAGAAGAGAGGAAGAAGAAGGGUAUUUCAGACAUUUAAAAUGUUUUUUUAAUUGUUAUAGCCUUUUUCACGCGCUUUUGGCGUUUGACAUACACGCACAGUUAAGUUGAAUGGAAAAUGUGACAUUUUCAAUUCAACUCAAAAAAUCGGGAGUUUAAAUGUAGCUUUACUGACUACAGGUGGUUAAGUGGAAAACCGCCCAAAACCCAGGUGGUCAUCUGAACUUAAUAUAUAUAUAUAUAUAUAUAUAUAUAUAUAUUGAAUAUUUGAUUUCCUUAAGAGGAAAGAUAUUGCUUUACAAAAAUCAAAUAAAGGAAGAUUUUAUUUUACUUCCAAAAUAAAUAAGAUUUUAUUAGAAGAUAUUUGAUUUGAUUCUUAAAUAAAAAGAAAAAUUUGAUUUACCAAAAGAAAGAUUUUAUUAGAUUAAAUUUUAUUUGGUAAGAUUUGAUGAUCUUCCUUGUUUUAAUUUCCAGGAAAUAAUAAAGAAACAAAUAUUGGGCAAGAUAUGGAAAGAUUUCAGAAGAUUUUUCAAUAUGUCCAAGGAAGAGCCUUGCUAGGUUUUGCCUCCCUAGGGUUUAACUCUAAAGGUUUGGCUUCCUAGGGGUUCCCUCUUCUAGGAUCAUUGUCUUCAAGACCUGUAAAGUGAAGUCCCGCAAAAUCGUUCAAAGGCUUGCAGUUUUCUUGUACGAUCGUCUAUUUGGAAAUGCGACUCUCGCGCUGGGGGAAAAUGUAGGUCCAAGUGUAAAAUUAGGGUUCACAUGACCUAAUUGAAUUAAAUACGCAAUUAGGGUUCCACGACCUCAUUAAAUGUACAAAUUAGGGUUCACAUAACCUAAUGGAAUGAAGACGAAAAAAGUCAAAAAUAAAUGUGCUAGACCCGGGAGAAGCCUCCACAUGUCCCGAGGCAGAAGACUCGUGGAGGCGGCUCGUUUUGGGAAUUGAUUGAGGGAUUGGAUUGGUGGAUAGAAGGACAGGGCAAUAUGGGCAUUAUUCUAAUGACUAAAGGGUAUUUCUAGAAUUUCCCUGAAAGCAUGUGCCUUGCACAUGACUACUUUCUAGAAAAUCCUAUAAAUACCCCUUCCAUUCCAUUUGAAAAGGGACUUCUCUUCAGACUCAAGACUUGAACUCUUGGAAGAUCAAAGGGACCCUUUUGGUGACUUAAAGGCUUGGAGAUUCCACCUAAAAGGACUAAAGGGGUUUGAACAUUUCUCUCAACUCGGAGGACACUCAAGAAGGCUCUUGGUAUCCCAAUAAUCCUAACACGAUUCUCGAAUACUAGGAGUUCUGCCACACGUCAUUGGAGUAAUUGCCCACCUGUUGUUCUCCCCUCUUCAAUCAAUCAACCAAUUCUGUGUUCUUCGUGGAUUUCUCUCCUCCUCAGCCAACACGAAACCCUAACCCUAGCAAGGCACGAUUUCCUUUCCCACAAAAAUUAAAUGGGGUUAAAAUAUAAUUUUAUUGAAAGUCAAAUUGUAGCUAGCUCUUCUUAAUGAGUGCAGAUCCUCUGUCUCCAUUUUCCUGUCUCUUGUGUGUCCCCCUACUUAAAUUUUGACACCUAACUUUUUACUUAACACCAAUUAAUUCUAAAAUUAAAUAAAAGGCCAGAUGUCAAAAUUUAAGUGAAGGGACAUAAGGGUACAGGAAAAAUGGGGACAGAUGAUCUGCUCUCCUUCGCUCUCCUUCUUAUUAACAUAUGCAUACAAACACUACAAGAAAAAUGCCUAACAGCGACCAAUACUAUCAGCGACCGCAUGUCUGGCCGCUGAUAUUACUAGUAGCGACCGAUACCUGCGACCACACCUUAAUCUAGUCGCUAAUUAAUAUCAGCGACCGCGUGCGGUCGCUGAGAGGUCGCUAACACAAAUUUCCCUCAUAAAAUUUGGCACGAAAUGUUGGCGUCAAGGGUAUGUGCGACCAAUUAAUAUCAGCGACCGCGGUCGCUGAUAAAUCCAUGUCAUUAAAAAUUAGCGACCGCAUGCGGUCGCUGAUAGUGGUCGCUGAUCAAACUUAAUUUACCCAGUUUCAGUCAUUCGCAGAAACAGAAACAAAAGAAAAAAAAAAGAGGGAGAUCGAAUAGAGAGAAGGGGGAGAAAAGAAGAAGGAGAAGACGCACGCACGCACGCCACCCACCGCCGCCGCCACUGACAUCGCUGCCGCUGCCCAUAGGCAAACCUAACUAUGAAAGCACUAUCUUAUAUUGCUACUGAAUUUCUCGUGCAAUAGUUUGGGGCAAAGCCAGUUCAUACAAUAAAUUAUCUUAUAUUGCUACUGAAUUUUUGUUUUAAGAGUUAAUUUAGAGCUGAGAUUUGAAUGAAUGAAAAUGAAUUUGGGAUUACUGAAAUUUAUAGCUUCUUAUUGAAAUUGGGAAUAUACUGAAAUUGUUGCAAAGAGUUUUAUGAGAUUACUGAAAUUUUUUAGGUUAAAUUAUUUUUAGGGUUAAUAUGUGUUUAAUAUACUGAAAAUGUGUUUUAAUAUGUGUUGAAAUUGGGAAUAUAUUGAAUAUGUGUUUUAAUAUGUGUUAAAAUUGGGAAAACAAGAUCAACAAAACCACUAUGCAAUUAUAUGCAUCUACUUCUCACCAUAGUGUGGGUUUCACAAAAAGAAAAAAACAUAAUAAGCCAUACUCAUGCUAAUUGAUGUUAAUUAUAAAAUUCAUUUAUAAUGUAUGUUUGUUAAAACUAAAAUUCAUGUAUAAUUGUAUAUUGGUAAUGUUUAGAUUGAUAUUAUAUUGGUAAUGUAUAUGGGUCUGAAUUUUUUACUGUUUUAAUUUGCUUUCAAUCGUUAUUGUUUUGGUCUUAUUGUAUUGGAAAUUUGUAUAUUUCUCUUGGUUUGUGUCUUGGGUGCCUAGAAAUGUCCAUAUAUGCAUGUCGUUGUGCAUGUGGCUAGUCCAUAUUGUAGGGGAGACUCUGGCGAAUUUUUUUUAAGUAUUAUAAGUAUAAGUUUGAAAAUGUUCAUAAGUAUUAUAAGUAUAAGUUUGUAGUUGAAUUUUUUUUACCUCUUUUAUUGUGAAAAAUUUUAGGUUUAAAAUAUAUAAUAGCUUUUGGUUAUAGGAAAGCUAUGCCCAUUAUUGAAAUAAAAUGAGAAAUUGAAUUGUUUGAAUAUGCGAGUAGCUUAAUUUUAGUAAUUCUCAGUAAAUUGGGUUCUGUUUAUAUAGAGAGCUUGGGUGUUGCUUAUCAAAUAUAUUGGUGAUCCACUAGAGCCUAUUAAGGGGCUGUUGGAGCUGAUGGGCUGGAAUUGGGGCCACGAGGCCACGCCAAGCUUAGCCAAGCCUCACGGGGCCAAGCCAAGCUUGGUUGUUAGCAUGGUAAGCUAUUAGGGGGUUGUUAAGCCAAAAUAGGCAGUGUUAGGGAAUUGUUAGUGCAACAGAGAAGGUAACUAGACACACUUGGUCAAUAAAAAGACUGUUAAUCAUUCGUUAACAUCAAGUAUGCUUAAAUGUUAAUCAUAUGCUUACAAGUAUACUCAAGUCAUAUGAUUACAAGUAUAUAUGCUCUCAAGUCAUAUGCUUACAAGUAUGCUUAAAUGUUAAUCAUAUGCUUACAAAUAUGCUCAAGUCAUAUGGUUACAAGUAUGCUUAAGUCAUAUGCUUAGAAGUAUGCUUAAAUGUUAAUCAUAUGCAUGCUUACAAGUAUGCUCAAGUUAUAUGAUUACAAGUAUGCUCAAGUCAUAUGUUAACAUUUAUAAUGUUGUCUGUAGUAGGUACCGUGGAAUCAUGGACCUCUAUUCAGACCGUAGUUGGAUGGUACGACGAAAGUCAAGUGCCCAGAUAGAUGCUACAACUGAAUUUAGAGCUGGUUGCCAAGUAUUUUUGGAGUAUGUGUAUAGUUACCCGGAAUGUAUGAAUGGUAAGUUGCAGAUACGAUGUCCAUGUUUGAAGUGUAAAAAUGUAAAUUAUAUGGAUAGAGACAUGGUAAACUAUCAUUUACUUGUUUUUGGGUUCAUGAAAAAUUACGAAGAAUGUUUGUGGGGCAGAGAAGAGAUGGUGGCAUCACACAAGUACACAAUUCGGGCAGUAGUACUCAUCGUAUGAAUGAAAUGGUUCAUGAUAUUGCAAGGCCAGAUUUUGAUUGGGAACAAGGCAGAGAACAACCUAUGAAUUUUGAUGCCAAAGACUUCUUUAAGUUGCUAGACGAGGGUAGCGAGCCAUUGUGGCAUGGUUGCACCAAACACACUACAUUGUCUGUAGUGGCGACAUUACUUAACAUCAAGGCUGAUCACAACAUGUGCCAUGAGUGUUUUGAGUCGCUCUUGAAGGCCAUUAAGAGUAUGUUGCCUGACGGUGAGAAAUUACCUGGUAACUAUUACUUUUAUAAGAAAAUGGUGAAGAAGUUGGGUCUUGGAUACUAAAAGAUCGAUGCAUGUCCCAACGAUUGCAUGUUGUUUUAUAAGAAAAAUGAACAGAUGACAAGGUGCACGUUUUGCAGUCAUGAUCGGUUUAGGCCUAAUAAAGAGGGUGUGACUACAAAAAAAUCAAGUAUACCGUUUAAGAUUCUAAGGUAUUUUCCAAUAACACAUCGGCUAAAAAGAUUGUACAUGUCUUCAAGAACAGCUGAACAUAUGAGUUGGCAUGCGAAAUCUCCAGCUAAAGAUGGAGAACUAAAUCAUCCCGCAGAUGGGAAGGCUUGGAAAGAUUUCAACUUAGCACAUCCUGGAUUUGCAUUGGAACCUAGAAAUGUGAGGCUUGGAUUGUCCACCGAUGGUUUCAAUCCGUUUGGCCACUCAGCUGUUCCGUACUCAUGUUGGCCUGUGAUUGUUACUCCGUACAACUUGCCUCCUUGGAUGUGUAUGAAACAGCCAUACUUGUUUCUUUCACUCGUGGUUCCUGGUCCUAAGAGUCCUGGAAAGAACUUAGAUGUUUACUUGAGACCUCUUAUAGACGAGUUGAAGGUAUUGUGGGAGGAUGGAGUACAGACUUGGGAUGUUGCAACGAAAACAAAUUUCAACCUUAGGGCAGCGGUUAUGUGGACUAUAAGUGACUUCCCAGCUUAUGGUAUGUUAGCUGGAUGGAGUACACACGGGAAGUUGGCUUGUCCGUAUUGUAUGGAGCAUACAAAGUCGUUUAAUCUAUCAAAAGGUCGAAAGCCUUGUUGGUUUGACUGUCAUCGUCGGUUCUUACCGGUAGAUCACCCGUUUCGAAGAAAUAGAGAACACUUCAGGAAAGGGAAAGUAGACAAUGAUAUGCCUGCACCGCGAUUGUCGGGAACGGAGAUGCGAGAUCGUGUGAUGAGAUUGCCGGUUAUCCCAUUUGGUAAGAUUGAUGCCACAAACAUAAUCAAUGGGUUUGGCGAAUCUCAUAACUGGGUUCGGAGAAGCAUCUUUUGGGAACUGCCUUAUUGGUCUACAAAUUUGAUUCGUCAUAAUCUAGAUGUGAUGCAUAUUGAGAAGAAUGUGUUUGACAAUGUGUUUAACACUGUGAUGAAUGUUACGGGGAAGACAAAAGAUAACGAUAAGGCACGUUUGGACAUGAAAGAUAUUUGUAAGCGUCCUGGAUUAGAACUUUAUGAAUCUCCUAAUGGUAAGAUUGUCAAACCGCAUGCAAGGUACACAUUGUCCAAAAAGCAAGUUGAAGAUGUGUGCACAUGGGUUAAGUCUCUGAAACUACCAGAUGGAUAUGCGUCAAACAUUGCAAGGUGUGUUACGGGUGGGAAAUUGCAAGGGAUGAAGAGUCAUGACUGUCAUGUGUUCAUGGAGAGACUCAUGCCUAUAGCAUUUCGGGAUCUGCUUGAUAAACCAAUAUGGGAUGCUUUGACGGAUCUUAGUCGUUUCUUCAAAGACUUAUGUUCAAAAUCAUUAAAUGAGAAGGACAUGUCUGUACUUGAGAAGAACAUCAUAGAGAUCACGUGUAAACUGGAAAAAAUAUUUCCACCUGUUUUUUUUUACUCCAUGGAGCAUUUGCAAAUCCAUCUUCCCUAUGAAGCUCGUAUUGGGGGUCCAGUUCAAUAUAGAUGGAUGUUCCCUUUCGAGAGGGUGAUGGGAAACCUUACCUGUCGAGGGGUCGAUAUGUGAGGCAUACAAUUUCGAUGAGAUAUCUACGUUUGUCUCAGACUAUUUUCCGGACGAAGUCUUGAAAAGGCCAAUCGAGUAUCGAGACAUGAUGAUGGGAGAAAUGUUAAACUGAAUGGUUGGCUCUUUGUAUUUGGUCUAUCGGGCCGCGCUUAUGGAAAAGGGAAGCGCAUAUUUCUCUCUGAGCAAGAAUUACAUGCUGCACAUACUUACAUUCUUCUCAAUUGCGAGGAGAUUGACGAAUUUGUGAGGUACACAUGUAAACUUGAUAAUUUAUGUUUUAAAUUAAAAAUUUAUUCCAAUAUGUUAAUGUUUAUAACAUGGUAUAGAUUGUACGAUGACGAGUUAAAAGUGAAGCAUCCCGGCAUAACUGAUAAAGAUAUUCAAAUCAAUCGGGAUAAAAAAUUUGCACGUUGGCUAAAGGACAAAGUAAGUUCAAUUUUUAAGCACGUAGUAUAUAUAUAUAUAUAUAUAUAUAUAUAUAUAUAUACUCCAUGUUAACUAUGACUUCAUUUAAGAAGAUAGAGUUUUUGUAGGCUUUGACUGAGGGAUCAACGAUUUCGGCUAAUGUACAAGUCUUAGCUCAGGGACCAAGUCAGCCGCAAUGGUUAUAAAAUAAAUGGUUGUGAAUUUCACACAAAGGCAUAUGGGCGCGGUAAAAGAACAACGAACUCUGGAGUGUGUGUCCAAGGAGAUUGUUACAAUGAGCUUAGUCGUGCCUUUUAUGGGGAGUUGGAGGAAAUCGUAGAGUUGUCGUACAAGGGAACGUACGGAGGUCAUAUUCACUUGUUCAAGUGCCGUUGGUUUGAUUCAGAAAAAGGGAUACAUGUUGACAGACAUGGAAUCGUCGAUAUUGACCUCCAUAGGUCUGCGUACUCCAACGAACCGUUUGUUUUACCAACUCAAACAGUACAUGUAUACUACACUCCUAUUCCUGUUAGGAAAAUGGAUAGACUGCCUACAGAUUGGCAAGUUAUAAUUCAUACUCCCGCGCGUAGUCGUGUAGAAUUAGUUGAUGGGGAGAUUUACCAAGAGCAGAUGUUUGAUAGUCAAACUAUAAUAAAUAUGGAGGACGACAAUGAAGUAAUCCAGUUAGAUGGUGGAGAUGAACCACAUGAAUUAGAUCCUAAGUCAAUACUUGUGUCAGAUGACAUUGAUACUGAGGAGGAAGAGUUAUUGACUGAAUCUGACACUGAAUCUGAAGCAGAUGAUGGUUAUGAAUCUGCAACACGUAUACAAGAUGAUUCUAAAUCAGACAUUGACACUUGAACAAAUGAAAUGUAUGUUUAGCAUUACAUAUUUUUUAUAUCAUUGUCAUGUUUAUGUACUAAACUAUUUAAAUGCAACUUUUGUUUAUUGUCAUUUUAUAUUCAUAUAUAUACAUGUUUAUAUCACUGUCAUGUUUAUUGUCAUAUAUACAUGUAAUCAAACAUGACUCAUAAUAACAUCUUGAAAUUUAUAAUAUACAGAUGGCUUCUGAAGCAGCGCAGAAAAAGCGCGGCUUGGGUAGAGGGCCUAAUCAUGUGCCCAAGGCCCCUACUAAUCCGAAUGAUCGGAUUCGUAUUCAGAUUCGCCCUCCUCCGAAUAGCACGUACGUCCCGCAUAUAUCAUUUAUAUAUAAGCAUUUAAGAUUCCAUUUAUUGUAUAUUGGUAAUGUUUUGAUUGAUAUUAUAUUGGUAAUGUAUAUGGAUCUGAAUUUUUUACUGCUUUAAUUUGCAUUCAAUCGUUAUUGUUUUGGUCUUAUUGUAUUGAAAAUUUGUAUAUUUCUCUUUGUUUGUGUCUUGGGUGCCUAGAAAUGUCCAUAUAUGCAUGCCGUCGUGCAUAUGGCUAGUCUAUAUUGUAGGGGAGACUCUGGCAAUUUUUUUAAGUAUUAUAAGUAUAAGUUUGAAAAAUGUUCAUAAGUAUUAUAACUUAGAUGUAAAUUGCUUUAAUAUAUGCUAAUUGAUGUUGUAUAUUAUAGUGAUUUUUUAGAUAAUAAGAUCAUCAAGUGCAUAUCACAGCUGUGUUUACAGAAUUGGCCUACACCUGUGAUUACGUGGGCGAGCACACCUAUCGCCCACAAGGAUGUUGUUUGGGCAGAAUUUCAUGUAUGUUUUUUUUAAUUAUGACAGAUAAUAUUAAUAUAAUAUAAAUAUAAUUAAUAUUCAAAGGAUAAUUAUUUAGUAAUGUUAUUAUUGUUGUUUUAUUUGCAAAAAUGGUAUAGAUGGGAGGACGCACAUGCUUCAAUGAUACAGACAUUAUUCUGGCAGAAGUGCGCGGUCCGCACCAAAGACAAUUUGAAUAAAGAAAGACAAAAGCCCUUCACAAUGCCGAGAUCGACCAUCCAGGCCAGGGAGAAGAUUACAUGCACGAGCAUAGCCCCUGGUGGUGCACCCAGGCCAUAUGGGGUGAGAUGUGUACCCAAUGGAGAGCUGAAAGCUGGGUGAAAAGACAAAAGUCUGCCGCCACCAACAGAUCCUCGGGUGUACCCGAUGGCGAAAAGGCUAAAGGGACAUACAAGGGAGGUAGUAUUUCACAGUUGCAGCAUAUCACUGCCAGGGUACGUAUUUACAAGUUUUAAUAUGUUUACAAUCAUGAAUUGUAAAAAAUAUAUCAUAUUUUUACUUAGUAAUAUUAUGAUAUUUUUUGUAUAGGAGUCUUAGUCUCAAGGUCAGCCUAUCCAUUGGUUGGAUGUGUACGUGGCCACCCGUGAUGGUCUGCCUGAGGCUUUCCAGAUAGCGGUAAUAAAUGUUAACAACUUGAUCUUGUUUAUCAAUGCUUACAGAAUUAAUUUAUUUUUAACUAUUUAAUUGUUAACAUGAUGACAAGACACUUAUAAGUGUUUAUUGAAUGAGCGUUAUCCUGAAGGCACUCCACGUCCGUUUAUCGAUCAAGAGUUGUGGGAGAGGGCGUCUGUUGUGAAGAAGAACUACAUUAAAGGUCAAGGACAACGACGACGCCCAUCCUUCAGUGGCUCAGACUGCUCUUUUACCCAGUCUACACAGUCAUCGAGCCAUCCAGCUGUUCAUACUCCGGCUGACUGAGUGCUGAGGAGUUAGCUGAAGUAGUAGUGGCAGCAGCAGCAUCACAACACGGGGAUAGCGACGAGGUAUAAAAUCAAUUUGUUGUAUAUAUUGUCGUAAUAUACCAAUAUUAACAUAUAGUAUAUAUUUGUAACUUGUUUUAUUAUUUUGUUAAUUACAGGGUAAUCAAGGAGGUGGUGAUGCUUGACGUACAUGGUUUAGAUUAGUUUUGUAGUUAUAGUAUAAGCUUGUACUUGUAUAUUCAUUCUUUGGAUGUUUGUAUGUUACUUAAACAAGUUUUGAAAUGUUAUUAUAUUUAUUCAAAUCAUAUUGGUUUUUAAAGGUUUAUAUACUAGUUUGGUGUAUGUAUUGGUGGACGAUGGAUGUUUAUAUUAUUGUGUAUGCUGUUGUUGGGUAUGUGUGUUAGGAUAAAGCAGAUACAAAACAGGUACAGGUUUUUGAAAAUUUUGCAAAACAUCAAAAAUCUGUUUUUUAUUUUUUUUCCAUAUUAGCGACCGCAUGCGGUCGCUGAUACCGGUCGCUGCCACGUGGACCACGUCAGCUUUGACCCUGGACCAUGUUGAUUCAGCUUAGCGACCGAAUUUGUUAUUUCGGUCGCUCAUAUCGGUCGCAGAUGUGUCGGUCGCUAAUAGUGGUCGCUGAUGUGCAUCCCAGCGACCAGAAUUUGUGCGACGACUAUUAGCGACCGCAUGCGAUCGCUGAUAGAUAUCUGCGACCAUCAGCGGUCACUGAUAGGCGGUCGCUGAUAAACUUUUUUCUUGUAGUGCAAUCUGCAUGCAUGCAUAUAAGUUACCGAAUUAACUGAACCAUGUCUAGCUAGAAACUAUUUUUAAACUAGUACUAUAAGUUACACUAUCAGUGGAGGACAACUAUUAUAGAUGUGGAUUACAUAAUUAACUUCUUAUUAUAAGGUUUGCCAAUAUUACAAGUUAAUUGUAGGCUAAUUAAAGCAAACUAUUCAAGAUGCAUGGAUCUCACCACCAUUUUAUUACAAUUAAGGGUAAUGCAGAACGAGGUGGUAUAAAAGAGGGAAUCGCAUGGGUGAUGCUGAUGAAGUAGUGGGUGUGGGUGGCCAGGUGGGGGGGGUGGAACAACUAAAAAGUAGAAGAAAGAAGGUUUAGCUAGCUAUUAUUGGCAUUGGAAAGAAGAUGAGAAUAAUGGAAAGAAAAGGUAGGGUUAUGGAAAUGCAUGAGAUUCCCUGAUGACAUAUGCGAUCAAUUAAUUAGAUAGAAAGAGAGAAAAAGAGUAGGGAAUAGAAGAUAACCUUUUGGUUUGUCUGGUUGUGCUGCAGGGACGUAUGAGAUAAAAAGAGGCAAGCAGACGGUCUCUUUUAGUAGGCAAAUGGUAUGUAUCAUACCUUAACCCUGCAACUUAUAUCUACUUUAAAUUUGCAUUCGAGCAGUAAUUAGUUUUUAACAGUUUAUUAAUUUGGACAAUUUUAUAAAUAAGAAUUAGUUACAUCCAUAUAAUUAUAAGAGAGUUAUAUUUCUACUUACAAUCUUUGUUAUACAAAUAUUUUAUAAUUAUAACUUUCUAAUUGUACACGUACAACUCAUUUCUAUAAGAUUGAUCAAUAAACAGUCCAAAUAAAACCAGCUUCUUAGAAUCAAGAUCCAUCUACUAAUUUCUAAAAGACUGGAUAUACCCUAAUACCCAUAGUCUGAUAGUCAUUCUUUUCAUUAAUCCCUAGGACCACACACCACCACUUCGUAUCUCUAGCUCCUUUAAAGAUGUUGAAUAUACUUUCCAUUUGUUAACUUGAGCUUAUGUCUCAUGGAUUUUGGUUCUCUUUAUUAUGAUGGGGCUUUAAAAGGUUAACAUCUUGUUUGAUUGAUGGAUGUGUACUAUUUGCAUGAUAUACAUUAUUGGUUAACGUCUUGUUUGAUUGAUGGAUGUGUACUAUUUGCAUGUUACUUAACAUGUUCGUACGUGGUCGUUGUUAGAAAUACAAGAAAAGAGAGAACUGUGAGUUGAUUGUAAUGUAUUUUUUGUUUGUAUAUAUAUAUAUAUAUAUAUAUAUAUAUAUAUAUAUAUAUAUAGCUGCAUGCAAAACCAAAGGCUGUAAUAUGGGACGGACGGCACAAAAUUUGAGAAAGAGCUAGUCCCGUGGUCAUGAAGAAAAGAAAAAGAAACAAAGAAUUUGAUGAUUCAAACUUUCAAAUUCCUCAUUGUGCAUCUCUUUCAUAACCGUUGACAUUUUCCUAGCUUCUUACUAGUAGUUUCUUUUUUUUUUAAUUCUCCUAGUCUCUUUUCCCCCUUUAUUUCCCUUCUUUCUUUCCUUUUUGUCCUUCUGUCCCGGUCCACAUUGCACCAGCAUAUGGCACAAACACAAACACACACCAUCAACUUUAUAUAUAGAGAUACUCACGCUUACUAUAUAUAGCUAGGUUUUACAGGCCUGCCCCAUCUACCGGCUUUGCAAAAGUUUACAUUAAUUAAUUACGUACUACUACUACUACUACUUUGUAUUUUUAUAAUUUUUUUUCUCUCUCACCCUUAGUACCUCAGGGGAAAAGGAUUUCUCGAAAAUUGAUUUGUACUUCAUGUACUUAAGUGGGAAUUUGAGAAAGUACUUUGUAUUUUUAUAAUUUUUUUUCUCUCUCACCCUUAGUACCUCAGGGGAAAAGGAUUUCUCGAAAAUUGAUUUGUACUUCAUGUACUUAAGUGGGAAUUUGAGAAAGUACUUUGUAUUUUUAUAAUUUUUUUUCUCUCUCACCCUUAGUACCUCAGGGGAAAAGGAUUUCUCGAAAAUUGAUUUGUACUUCAUGUACUUAAGUGGGAAUUUGAGAAAGUGAGGGAAAGACAAUUCCCUAUACAAUACAAGUGAAUUAAACCAACUUAUUUACCAAUGCUAUUUUAUAAAUAAAUAAAUAAAAUGAUACCGAUGACCCAUUUUAUUUUUAUAUAUAUUUGAGUUUAACAAUAAAAAUAAAUACAUUUUAGCUAAUGUCAUGAUGGAUUGAAGAUAUACGUACGUACCUGAAUCAGAUAUGUCCAUAAUCUAGAAAAUGAUAUAUUCUCCCUUUAAUAUUAUAAAUAUUUAUGAAAGUAUCUAUCACAAUAUAUACGACAAAUAUAGUAAGAUUCAUAUAUAUAUAUAUAUAUAUAUAUAUAUAUAUAUAUAUAUAUAUAUAUAUAUAUAUAUAUAUAUAUAUAUAUAAUUUAGUACUGCCCAAGGCCAUUGAUCCUGCAUCGAUUCUGAUUCUACAACCAUUGCUCAUUCCAAUCCAUUCAAAUUCAGAAAAAAGAUGUAUCAUUAUAUUAAAAACAAAAAAUAUAACAAAAGGGAGAAUAAUAAUAACAUACUCCUAACAGCACAAGAAAAUUUAAAAUUAACACAUAAUUGUAACAAAACUUGAGAGUAACAGUACUAAAUAAAAACAUAAAAUUCCUCGCAUCUUAAUUUGUGAUUUCAACAAUUCCCCCAUGUUUUUUGCGAGGCAGCUGGCGGCUGACCUUCAGCUGCAAAUCCAUCAUGAGUAGUAGUCCUUAACAGUGGGUGGACAUACGUAGGGAACUCUACGCCCCUGGUGAAGGAUAGCAGAUUCCUUCCAUUCACGUUCACGUUAACGUUCACAUCAACAUUCCCAUUCCCAUUUCCUCGGUCUCCGGUCAACGCCAGAAAGUCUCUGGUCGGACCGCUGUUGUGAUCACUCCUCUGCUGCCACGUGGCAAAGUUUCCCAUUUGGUAAUCAGCAGGGAUUCCGGCAGUGACGUGACCCAGGCCGCCCAGGUCCAUCCGGCUCAUGGUGGAUGGCACGUGACCAGUAGGUUGUGCACCCGCCGUCGAAGCCUUCUGGAGUAGUGCAGUGGCAGAGAGCAGGUGGGCCGCUGCUGAGCUGGCAGGAGGAGGAGGAGGAGGACUAUGGAAGGGUGACGUCAUCAUCAAGAAGUUCUUGUAAGAGGAGGAAGGUGGUGGAGGUUCUUGGUAGAAAAAAAAUGGUGAAUUAGAGAUUGGGAGAUCAAUAUUAUUGUUGAUAGCUUCAGGCUUGAUAUUGAUGAUGUGAUUAUUAUGGUGAAGAAUUGCCGGAAUAGGGUUAGGGUUUUGAGGAGGUGGUGGUGGUGAUGGGUCCCAGGUGUUGAGGGAGAUGUGGAUUGGUGGGUUUUGAAAGUAGUCAUGUUUUUGUUCUUCUUGCUGAUGCUGGUUGAGGAGAGAGAAUAGUUGGUGGUGCUGCUGCUGCUGCUGCUGCAGACUGAGGGGUUGAGGAGGAGGAGGAGGAGUUGGAGUUGAUGAUGAUGACGUUAAUAUUGGGACGACAUUAGUUGCUGCUGCUGCUGCUGCAGAGAGUCUGGCACUUUCUUCAGCUAAUGAAUCACAGAAUGCUCUGUGGGUCACGAAGCUAUCCUUUCUGCAUGCAUGCAUGUAAAUUAUGUUGGUUAUGCUCCAAAAUCUUAUGUUUUUGGCAAAGUUCUACAUUGGCUAUUCUUGGAACUCUCAUAGUGCAUAUUAGUACUUGUUGUUAUGUGCUUAGUAACAUGGUUGAGGAAAUAGGGAUGGGCUCGCGCACAUGAGGACGGCUAAGGAAUUGGGCGAAACCAAGCUUGGUUCUCGGGCUUUCGAACAGAAAACCUUAGUGCGUGUGUGCGCGCGAUACGCCCGCGCAGGGGGGGUGCCGAUCCGUAAAAUUUGUGCUUCGCGGGUGUACCCAGGUAGCCCACUGUUUUGAUAAAAUCCCUAAUUUCUUUUUAUACUAUUUACUCCUAGCCCUAGCUGUUUUCCCAAAACGUAAACCUUAAUUAGUUUUACGUUACUGAUUUAUCUCCAACGUUCUUCUAAAAAUUUAUUUCCUUUCAACGUUCGGGUAUUUAUUUUCCCAACAGUCUGGUUCGUUCUUCUUCUUCUAUAUAUACUGUCUCUGUUCUCUGUUCUGUGAUAGAUAUAUAUCAUAUCAGUGUGCUUGUUUUCUUCUUCUCUGUUAUUCUUAUAUUUUCUCUUGAUUGGGGCAAUUCACAAAGACGAGUCCAUAGUCUUCUUCUGCGAGUACACGCAAUCGGAGGCUUGCCGUUGAAUCCUGGAGGGUCAACGUCGUGGAGCUCAACUGUACCGGUUCAUAUAACCAGUGAGGGCGGAAUCACUUUUUAGGACAGUAGCUUUGCUACGCCUCGGCUUCUUUCAUAUAACAGCUAAGUUGUUCCAAUUUGUUCGCCUAAUAGUCUUGUUAAAACUGCUCUUGCUGUUGUUGCUUUGCUACUGCUAUUGCACUGCUUCUGCUACUGNNNNNNNNNNNNNNNNNNNNNNNNNNNNNNNNNNNNNNNNNNNNNNNNNNNNNNNNNNNNNNNNNNNNNNNNNNNNNNNNNNNNNNNNNNNNNNNNNNNNNNNNNNNNNNNNNNNNNNNNNNNNNNNNNNNNNNNNNNNNNNNNNNNNNNNNNNNNNNNNNNNNNNNNNNNNNNNNNNNNNNNNNNNNNNNNNNNNNNNNNNNNNNNNNNNNNNNNNNNNNNNNNNNNNNNNNNNNNNNNNNNNNNNNNNNNNNNNNNNNNNNNNNNNNNNNNNNNNNNNNNNNNNNNNNNNNNNNNNNNNUUUCUAAAAUUGAACGGUUUGAUGGUAAUAAUUAUAAGAGAUGGUCUGAAGAUGUACUCUUUCAUUUGGAAACCCUAAAUUUGGAAUAUGUUUUAUAUAUGGAUGCUCCUGUUAUUGCUGUUACUGUUAAUGAUGUUACUCUUCCUGCUGCUGAAACUGUUGAAAAAUCGGAUACGAAUAAAAGGGAUUAUGUUAAGGAUAAUCGCACAUGUCGUAGAUACUUGUUGCACUAUUUGUCCAAUUCAUUAUUUGAGAUAUAUUAUCCGUAUGAAAGUGCAAAGAAAAUUUGGGAAGCUUUAAAAUCAAAGUAUGCUGUAGAAAAUUCUGGACUUAAGAAAUAUGUUGCGGGGAAAUUCUUAGAUUUUAAGAUGCAAGAUGGAAAAUCUGUUAUAGAUCAAGUUCACACGUACCAAACAAUUGUGGGGGAAGUCAUUGGGGAAGGAAUGAAAAUAUGCGAGAAUUUCCAAGUUGCUGUACUUAUCGAAAAACUACCACCCUCGUGGAAAGAUUAUAAGAUGAAUCUCAAACAUGAAACUAAAGAUUUCACUAUGCAGGAACUAGUAGCUCACAUCCAUAUUGAAGAACAAAACAGAGCUAAAGAAAGGGGAGAUGUAGUUCCAAAUCAAACUGUCAAAGCUAAUCUCGUGGAACAAAAGCCACAAUGGAAGAGCNNNNNNNNNNNNNNNNNNNNNNNNNNNNNNNNNNNNNNNNNNNNNNNNNNNNNNNNNNNNNNNNNNNNNNNNNNNNNNNNNNNNNNNNNNNNNNNNNNNNNNNNNNNNNNNNNNNNNNNNNNNNNNNNNNNNNNNNNNNNNNNNNNNNNNNNNNNNNNNNNNNNNNNNNNNNNNNNNNNNNNNNNNNNNNNNNNNNNNNNNNNNNNNNNNNNNNNNNNNNNNNNNNNNNNNNNNNNNNNNNNNNNNNNNNNNNNNNNNNNNNNNNNNNNNNNNNNNNNNNNNNNNNNNNNNNNNNNNNNNNNNNNNNNNNNNNNNNNNNNNNNNNNNNNNNNNNNNNNNNNNNNNNNNNNNNNNNNNNNNNNNNNNNNNNNNNNNNNNNNNNNNNNNNNNNNNNNNNNNNNNNNNNNNNNNNNNNNNNNNNNNNNNNNNNNNNNNNNNNNNNNNNNNNNNNNNNNNNNNNNNNNNNNNNNNNNNNNNNNNNNNNNNNNNNNNNNNNNNNNNNNNNNNNNNNNNNNNNNNNNNNNNNNNNNNNNNNNNNNNNNNNNNNNNNNNNNNNNNNNNNNNNNNNNNNNNNNNNNNNNNNNNNNNNNNNNNNNNNNNNNNNNNNNNNNNNNNNNNNNNNNNNNNNNNNNNNNNNNNNNNNNNNNNNNNNNNNNNNNNNNNNNNNNNNNNNNNNNNNNNNNNNNNNNNNNNNNNNNNNNNNNNNNNNNNNNNNNNNNNNNNNNNNNNNNNNNNNNNNNNNNNNNNNNNNNNNNNNNNNNNNNNNNNNNNNNNNNNNNNNNNNNNNNNNNNNNNNNNNNNNNNNNNNNNNNNNNNNNNNNNNNNNNNNNNNNNNNNNNNNNNNNNNNNNNNNNNNNNNNNNNNNNNNNNNNNNNNNNNNNNNNNNNNNNNNNNNNNNNNNNNNNNNNNNNNNNNNNNNNNNNNNNNNNNNNNNNNNNNNNNNNNNNNNNNNNNNNNNNNNNNNNNNNNNNNNNNNNNNNNNNNNNNNNNNNNNNNNNNNNNNNNNNNNNNNNNNNNNNNNNNNNNNNNNNNNNNNNNNNNNNNNNNNNNNNNNNNNNNNNNNNNNNNNNNNNNNNNNNNNNNNNNNNNNNNNNNNNNNNNNNNNNNNNNNNNNNNNNNNNNNNNNNNNNNNNNNNNNNNNNNNNNNNNNNNNNNNNNNNNNNNNNNNNNNNNNNNNNNNNNNNNNNNNNNNNNNNNNNNNNNNNNNNNNNNNNNNNNNNNNNNNNNNNNNNNNNNNNNNNNNNNNNNNNNNNNNNNNNNNNNNNNNNNNNNNNNNNNNNNNNNNNNNNNNNNNNNNNNNNNNNNNNNNNNNNNNNNNNNNNNNNNNNNNNNNNNNNNNNNNNNNNNNNNNNNNNNNNNNNNNNNNNNNNNNNNNNNNNNNNNNNNNNNNNNNNNNNNNNNNNNNNNNNNNNNNNNNNNNNNNNNNNNNNNNNNNNNNNNNNNNNNNNNNNNNNNNNNNNNNNNNNNNNNNNNNNNNNNNNNNNNNNNNNNNNNNNNNNNNNNNNNNNNNNNNNNNNNNNNNNNNNNNNNNNNNNNNNNNNNNNNNNNNNNNNNNNNNNNNNNNNNNNNNNNNNNNNNNNNNNNNNNNNNNNNNNNNNNNNNNNNNNNNNNNNNNNNNNNNNNNNNNNNNNNNNNNNNNNNNNNNNNNNNNNNNNNNNNNNNNNNNNNNNNNNNNNNNNNNNNNNNNNNNNNNNNNNNNNNNNNNNNNNNNNNNNNNNNNNNNNNNNNNNNNNNNNNNNNNNNNNNNNNNNNNNNNNNNNNNNNNNNNNNNNNNNNNNNNNNNNNNNNNNNNNNNNNNNNNNNNNNNNNNNNNNNNNNNNNNNNNNNNNNNNNNNNNNNNNNNNNNNNNNNNNNNNNNNNNNNNNNNNNNNNNNNNNNNNNNNNNNNNNNNNNNNNNNAAAAUUUGUGCUUCGCGGGUGUACCCAGGUAGCCCACUGUUUUGAUAAAAUCCCUAAUUUCUUUUUAUACUAUUUACUCCUAGCCCUAGCUGUUUUCCCAAAACGUAAACCUUAAUUAGUUUUACGUUACUGAUUUAUCUCCAACGUUCUUCUAAAAAUUUAUUUCCUUUCAACGUUCGGGUAUUUAUUUUCCCAACAGUCUGGUUCGUUCUUCUUCUUCUAUAUAUACUGUCUCUGUUCUCUGUUCUCUGUUCUGUGAUAGAUAUAUAUCAUAUCAGUGUGCUUGCUUUCUUCUUCUCUGUUAUUCAUAUAUUUUCUCUUGAUUGGGGCAAUUCACAAAGACGAGUCCAUAGUCUUCUUCUGCGAGUACACGCAAUCGGAGGCUUGCCGUUGAAUCCUGGAGGGUCAACGCCGUGGAGCUCAACUGUACCGGUUCAUAUAACCAGUGAAGGCGGAAUCACUUUUUAGGACAGUAGCUUUGCUACGCCUCGGCUUCUUUCAUAUAACAGCUAAGUUGUUCCAAUUUGUUCGCCUAAUAGUCUUGUUAAAACUGCUCUUGCUGUUGUUGCUUUGCUACUGCUAUUGCACUGCUUCUGCUUCUGCUACUGUUGUUAAUUUAUCUGGUUUCUAACAAAUUAUUAUACACAAACAUGCACAGGCACAACUUUAUGUCGCUUUUCGAUUGAAUGAAUAAAAUAGAGGACGAAAUAAAAUAAUUUUAAAAUAUUUUAAGUGUGUAUUUUGUUGUUGGUAGUGGUAGGUGUUGUCGUGACAAAAUUAUCACAUAUAUUUAUUCCAUCUUCUCCACAUAUAUAUAGAAUCAAAAAACAAAGGGAUGAAAUAAAUUUUCAUUCCAUUAAAAUAAUUUAUCGUCCAAAAUAGUCAUCAAAUACAUGACUAUUUUUAUUUAAUUUUUUCCUCUAUUUUAUUCUCUCAAUUCAACCGUAUACAUUAAAGUUAUAAUGAAUCCGCAUUCAUACCACAACGCAUGCACGGUUAUGAAUUUUAUUGUUAAUUAUAAGAACUGUAUAAUAUGGUUGAAGAUGCGGACGCCAAUGAUGUGAUCAAUUAUAAUGUAUUAAUUGAGUUAAUUUCUAGAGAGAAAGAAAAAUCUUGGCAAAUAAAUCCAAUUUAUAUUCUUAUAUAUAUAGAUUGUCUUUUAUAUAUAUAUAUAUAUAUAUAUAUAUAUAUAUAUAUAUAUAUAUAUAUAUAUAUAUAUAUGCAAGUUUUAUCCUUCUAGUGUAAGAAACAUCACAAGAUUAACAAAGCCCACUGAAAUAAAUUACGAGUACCACUUCAAACCAAAAACAAAGACACACCACCCACCAGUGUUACAGUCCAAAAUAAUGUAUACAAAUAUGAAAUCAAAUUUGAUAAAGAAUUGAAUUUGGACACAAUUUAGAUCACCAAUAGGCAUGCACUUAUGUAACUCAAAAAAAAAUCAUUAAUUGAAAGUGGGGAGAAAAAAAGAAAAAAGAACAAAAGAACAAAAUAAAAAAUGAAUGUCAUUCAUACAUGGAGAACAGGGUCCCAUAUAAAUAAAACAAAAUUGAAAAUGUAAUAAAUUAAAUGGCUUUUGAAUUAAAUUGUCAGGUUCAAAUUAAAUUGACAAAUAUUAAUUAUUUUGGGUCUCAUUCACUAUUCAUUCAAAGUAGAGAAAACAUAUUAAAUAUCAUAUUGUUAUUCCUUGGUAUUAAUGGCAUCCAUUAAAUAUAUAUAUAUAUAUAUAUAUAUAUAUAUAUAUAUAUGAGUUUAUAUAAAAUCAAAUUUGAUUGAAGAAAACUCACCUAUAUGCAUGCACUUACUACUUAUAUAAUUCCAAAGAAAUCAUUAAUUGUCAGUGAGGAGAAAUUUAGAAACAAAAAAAAAAAAAUUACUACUCCUAUAGUCUAUAGAUAAAAAAAAUAAGCUUAAAAAUGGCUAUGAGGGAUACCUGGAGAAAAAAGUCCCACAGUCACAUCUAUACUCUCUCGUACCACAGGUUUUAGAGUGAACCUUCCAAUCCGAUUGAACUGCAUAAAUCUUUGCACAUUUCUCACACUUCCAUUUCUUCUCCCCAUGUUUCCUGCAAAAGUGUUUCUUGAUCCCUGUAAGAUCACCCAGUGCCCUUGAAGGAUGAUGGUGAACACAUGAAGCCUCAGGGCAAACAUACGCCUUCUUCUUUAUCACAUCCGUAUUAUUAUUCCUCGGCUUUAACUUCCAUGGCAAAUUAUGACCUCUCCUAUGAAGCUGAAGAUUCUGGUCUCUCUUAAAUCCUUUCUUGCAAACCUCACACAUAAAUCUAUUGGUAGCUAGUAGGGUCCCUGGAGAUAAUGCAAUCACUUCAGCAUCAGGGUCUGCAUAAAUCAUAACGAAAACAAUUACCGGUCAAUUUAUAUUAAUUUACAGACUAUGUCGUUGUAUUUUCUAGUAACAAGAGUCAGACCGCAUGAAAUCUUGAUCAAGAAUACAAGUUUAAUCCAUUAAAACUGAAAAUAAAUAAGUGACUAUAAAUUUACCUGGGUUUCCGGGUAGGUUUCUUUUCUUCUUGAUGUUCUGGGGCUGCUGAUCAACAGGGGAAAUGUUCGAAGCUAAUGGAUUUAAGGUACCAAAAGAAGAAACACAGCUAGCUUCCUCAGAUAAAGAAGUGGUAUUAUUUGACAUGACUGCACCCACCGGUAACAUGAUUGGCUUAGAACAAGACUAGUACUCACUCUUAAUUAAUGAAUUCCUCUACAAUUAAGAAAGAGAAAACAGAACAAUAGCUGGCUAACUCUGUUUUUGGAUUUUUAUACUGGCUUUAUUGUAACAAACUAUUUACAAGUGUAAGAAAAGCCGCUAGCAUUGAUUUGGAUUAUUAGCAAGUGGCAAUAUUACAAAGGAAUCAUUUCAAAUGGAUGGCAAAAGGAAAAACUCGUGAAGAGAGAGAAACAGAGAGGUAUAUGAUGAUGGGUGAUUUCUCAAAUUAAUAAGCCACUAUCUACCUAGUUAGCCAUGGAUAUAUCAUAUAUUAUAUAUGGCUUGCAUCAGAGCAUAACUCCGCAACAUAUAUAAUUCAGAUAUUCUCUCUCCUAUUAAUUAUAACUCAUCCAUGCAAUCAAGAACAUGAAGAAAAAACCAGCGACAAUUGUGUAUAUAUAAUUUCUUUUCGUAGCUAUCGAUCAAUAUCUAUAUGUAUGAAUAUAAGACAGACAGUAUCUAGUGUAUAAAGAAAAUAAUAUUAUGAAGGGGGAAAAAUGGUAAUGUACAGAAGGUGAUGAUUACAAUGGCAGACUAUGGAAAAAAAAAGCUAAGAAUUCAGGGGAAGAGAGAAAGAGAGAGGAUGAGACUGACUUGAGCAAAGACUACUAGACUAGGAAGAAGAAGAAGAAUCCGACCCCUCAAAACUCUUUUUUCAUGGUCAUUCAUCAAUUUUAUUUUAUUUUUAUUUUUAUUUUUAAUUCUUUACUUUGAUUGAUUUUGUUUACAGUUUUUAAUUUAUUUGUAUCUGACUUUUGCGCUUUCUGUCUUUCCCUUUGUUUCUGUUACAAAACACCCAAAUGCUAAUGGGGAUUGAUUUGAAUGGGAUGAUACUAAAAGAUGGAGGACUGCUAAUAAAGCAUGCUUAGGAGUUUGGAUGAUGAAAUUGAAAAGCUUAAAGGCAAAAGUGUUAAAGAGAGAUUAGGCCCUUUAAUCCUUUUUCCAAAUUAUUUUUAAUACUUGCAUCAUUGAUUCAUAAUUUUUGUUCAUAAAGGUUACGGAGUAAAAAUCAAUAAUCAAACUCUAAAAAGUCAAUUCAAACACGUUAUUAAUGCUGAUUAUUGAGGCCUUGAAAACUUCAUACAGUCAGUCAUUCCAUUAACUUUAGUAGUUUCCAAUUUUAUAUAAUCACCCUCAACAAAAGAUAAAGAUGAAUAAAUAUUAGAGUUUUGUUUUCUAACAUUUAAUUACAAGAGCAAAGAAGUAGGAAAUAAUCAAAUGCUAGACAUUCAUACUCUAUUAUUUGAUCCUAAUUAUUUAUAUCAUAAUAUUCAAUGUUCAUGAUUAACUGAUUGAAUUAUUUCUAGAGGUUAUGGAAUCUUGAUAACUUUCUUGUUUACAAUUAUUUUCGAGAGGAUUCCACCCCUCCCACCUUUUGUCUUUCUUUCUUUCUUUUGUAAUUAUUCUCCCAUCCUAGUGUACAGUGAAAGCUCUCAAGCCACACUAUACCAUCUUAUCCCUUUAAUUUAUCAAACCCAAAAUUCCAUUUUACUAGAGAUAUUCAUAAAACAAAUGGCUAAACAUGUCAUUUAUGUACAAUGGAUUCUCUUCUAUAGAGAAGACAUGCAUGAUCCAAAAUUAGUAUAUUUAUGUGGCAGCCUUUUUAUCCCCCAACGGUUCAUACAAGGGCACAAAUCCAUGCAAAUGAUCAACCCAUGAACCUCUUAAUUAGCAUGCCAGAAAUAAGACCCAUUUAUAGAUCAUUGCCUUUUAUAUAUAUAUAUAUAUAUAUAUAUUUAUCUUUUUUAGUGUCAUUUAAAACCUUACAAUUCUUGCAUGGUCUUUUCACACUUAAGCGUUAAGAUUGAUCGUGUAGGCAGAUUGGUUCGAAACGAGUGAUUGGCAAAAAAUAUAAAAAUAAAAUAAAAAAUCGUUGAAAAUACAUUAUGAGUACUAUUUAGUUAGUGUAUAGUCUGUAGAUUUUACAUACUUCAUUUUCAUCCUUCAGAAAUUACGACUGUAUCCUUGAAGCGUAGAUAAAAGGAUGACCCAAGAUUUGAUUCCACCCACCACUGAACUUUAGCUCGGUUGGUAUCAGUAUCAGUGUAUCACUGCACCUUUGCAAUGCAAUUCCACNNNNNNNNNNNNNNNNNNNNNNNNNNNNNNNNNNNNNNNNNNNNNNNNNNNNNNNNNNNNNNNNNNNNNNNNNNNNNNNNNNNNNNNNNNNNNNNNNNNNUUUCUUUCUUUCUUUUGUAAUUAUUCUCCCAUCCUAGUGUACAGUGAAAGCUCUCAAGCCACACUAUACCAUCUUAUCCCUUUAAUUUAUCAAACCCAAAAUUCCAUUUUACUAGAGAUAUUCAUAAAACAAAUGGCUAAACAUGAUCCAAAAUUAGUAUAUUUAUGUGGCAGCCUUUUUAUCCCAACGGUUCAUACAAGGGUUCAAAUCCAUGCAAAUGAUCAACCCAUGAACCUCUUAAUUAGCAUGCCAGAAAUAGGACCCAUGACCCAUCCAUAGAUGGAUAUAUAUAUAUAUAUAUAUAUAUAUAUAAAAUCUUUCUUAAGUACUUGUAAGUUCUUAAUCGGAACCCUAUGAGAGGGAUUUUAAUUUUUAUUUUGCUAAAUUCGUUUGAUCUUAGACUUUUAAUGAAUUGGGCUAUAACUUUUUGCUAACAUUCAUUCUUUUAGUUAUGGGAUAAAAUGAGUUUGGUCUAACUACUAUUCCAUAUAGAUAUUAUCACCCUUCUAUCCGACUUGAUAGUGUGCUGUAAUCCUUCCCCACAUCCUGCUAUAAUAAUUGUACGUAUAAAUACUACUCGAGAUUUUUUCCAAAAAAAUAAAAUAAGUCAAAAUUAUACCGUUACAAAAUAUAGGAAUAAUAUUGGAUUUUGAAAGAUAAAUUAAUAUAAUUUUAACUUUAAAAUUAAUAUUAAUUCAUUUAAAUUUAGACAAUAAAAUUAUAAAGUACUACUAAAUUCAAAAUAAUCAAAUAUAAAAGAAAUUUUAUUAAUUUUAAGUUUAGAAAUGUUAUGUAUCGACUUUGAAAACUUAAUAAUAAUUAAUAUUUGACAACUCAACUUAUUUUAUUUCAAAAAUUACUAAAGUUGAUAAAAUUAAGAAGCCAUGUCGGAACGUACCCCAAGAAAAAAAGGAAAUUUCAAUUAUGACAAACAAUACUCCUAUUUGCCAAGAUCGGAGUGAGUGACUUUCGUAGGAAAGAGAGGGAAAUGAUAAAAAUGGGACAAAUGGAGGACAACGUAUGUUUUUCAAAUAACAAUAAUAUUAUUAUUACAUAAAAAAGGGUCACAUAAUAUUUACAUAUACAUAUGUAUUGUAGGUCCCCACCUGAUAUGUGGAACCUACAAUAUAUAUAUGUGUAUGUAAGUAUUAUAUAACAUUUUUUUAUGUGAUAGUACGUAGCAUUUUUUUUCAAAUAAUGGUAGUAACAACAGUUUGGAAUAAUGGUAGUAUUAAAGAGUGUUUCUUUUCUGAUUUAACUUUUUGUAUACUGAUAAUUCCAAUUAUACUUCAGUAAUGACACUUAUAGAAGGAGAUUUUAAGUGAGUUAACCCCUAAGGGCAUAUUUGUUUAUAUGAAUUAUAAUUUUAAGAUUAUAAUAUUUAGAAUUAUAAUUUUAAUAAUAUUAAUUCUAGGAUUAAAUAGUCUUAGUACGUCACAUGUUUGUUUUUUAUAGAAUUAUUCAUGGGAUAACUUAAAAUAAUCUCAUGUUAUAUUUGUUUUUUUUUCAGGAUUAAUUAAAGGAUUGAAUAAAAAAUAUUAUUUGGACUAUUAUACCCUUAUCAAUAGUAACAUAUUUUAAACUAUAAUUUAAACCUUUUUAUACAUCAAAAAAUAAUAAACAAUUAAUUAUGAUGAUUAUUAUGGUCAUUUUAGACAAAUAUAUUAUGGUAAUUUUAAACAAUAAUGUUUAAAAGUAAUUCAAGGAAUAAUAAUAUUCCUUACAUUUUUUUUAUCACGUUAACGUUAAAUAGGCCCAUGUCCUGGAGCACAAAGGUCACGGAAACUAAUUGUUCCUACCAUAAAUAAGGCUGGUCUGGUUCAGUAAUAUUUAAAAACUCCAAUUAAUUUAAUAUAAUUUUUUUAAUAUUAUUAUUGAUUUAAUGUUCAGGUGUAGAUCUUUUGAAAAUUAAUUUGAUAUAAUGGUUAUUUAUGUUUAUGAUCUUAGUUAUGCAUCUUUUAAUAUUUACAGGGUUAUUAAUUAAUUGAUCAUCAUCCGUUAUAUUACUUUUUGUAUGUUUCUUGAGCUAGUUUCCAACUAAUACUUGGAUGGAGAUUUUGUUUUCUUUGUAAAACAUAGAAUAAAUAAUUUUCAGAAUUGGAUAAUAUAUAAGGUAAACAUUCCGUUGAUAUCCUAUAUGAAAAUUUUACCAUAAUUUUUGAUUAGUUGUUCAUUCUCACAAUCUAUUAUUAAAUUAUUUAAUAUCUAAUACUCUCUCCGUUCUAGGAUAAAAGUCUUGGUGGACUUUUCACGCAUAUUAAGAAGAUGAAUAAAAUGACAAAGUUGUCCAUAAUAAUGUCAUUAAAUAUGGAGAGAGAAUUAAAAUAAGAAAAUUAUGAGAUAUUUAAUGUUACGGGUAUAAUAGAAAAAUAUGUGUAAAAGUUUGGUUAUUAAAGGAAAAAGGACAUUUAUCAUGGGAUUACCCAAAAUAAUAAUAAAAUUUUUAUCAUGGGACGGAGGGAGUAGUAGAUAAGGAAAAUCAAUCACAUGGUAGAUAAGCUAGGUUAUGUACUUAGUUAUUCAUAAUUUAAUACAAUUAUAAAAAAAAAGAAAAAAAGAAAUUAAUUGAUUUAGAUCAUGAUCUGUAUUGUUGGAUCAAGUGAAUGACAAAUCAAUUAUCAAUUAUAUGAUGAAUCAAAGUAUAAUUUACUCUUAUCUGACUCAUUGACAGACUUAUUUUUGCCCAUAUAUAUGUUGAUCGUUGACUGUUGAUUGUUGACCAAAUUUAAAUAUCUAUCAUUUUUCUUGUUUUAUGUCUCAUGCGGAUCGAAGAAGCCAAGUGUCCAGUCACAACUUAAAAGUUAGUCAAAUUAACUUAUAAGUUAUUUUUAUUAUCAAGUGUUUGGUUGUGACUUCACAAGAAGAAGAGUAGGAGUGAGAAAUAUUUUCUUUUCUUUUCCUUAUUUCUUUAGUGUCAUUUUUUUCUAUUCGGAAAUGUCUAUACCAUAUUUUGUUUCCGAGUAUAUAUAUAUAAAUAUGAAAGGAGGAGUAAUAAUACGCCCAACCUUGCAAGUCGGCCGCUCUGGGCCUGUAGACUGCACUGUAGUUCUUAACCAUAACCCUCCCGGUUCAAUAAUUUUCCUGAACUUUCCAAUCCUUUUAAAGAUUAUAAUGAUCAAUGGCCCAUUUACAAAAGGAGUUGGAGUCAUAUUUAUCAAUUUUUUGUUUAUAAGAUAGAUAUUUUUAACAAAAAUAAUGUUUAAAUUAUUACUUUCAGUAAAAAAUGUAUAAAAAACAUCCCUUGUUUUUUUUAUUUUCAAACACACAUUGUAACUAAAUAAUCUCUAAACUUUUUGGUUGAAAACUUACUCCUCGCAAUUAUCCAACCGGCAAUUUCUACCGGUCUAGCCACCGCUCCAAUAUAUAUAUAUAUAUGCAAUACUGCUUUUUAUAUAUAUCCAAAUUAUAUCUAAAUCACUGUAAAAAUUCCAAUUAAAAAUAAUACUAUAUAUUUUUUGAGAGUCCAGGAAAAAUAAAAUAAAAAUGGACACAUUUAUGCAACUUGUCAUCACAAACUAAUGCAUGCCUCUAUAAGAGUCUCCGUUGAUGAACAAACCUACUUAGCAUCACAACAUGAAUCACCAGACAUCUUUGAAAAACAACAAAUCCAUCAGAAAAAUCAACUGCAGCCACUUGUAUUUAGAAAGAUCAACAGCUUCAAGCUGUCUACAUUAAUAUGAGCCACAAAUACAACAUAUACCCAAGGAAGUCGAUCAAUGUUCAUUUUGUAAUACAAGCCAAUAAACAGAUUUAAUGCGUAUACUCCUGGUCUUCAAUGUUCAAAAAAUGAAAAUCAAAUCUUGACAUGGACUUUAGAACAUCGAACUGGCCAAGAAAUUGCUGCAAUCGGAGUAUCUGACCAAUUAGAGAGAGCUAAAUGAGAGGAAGGGUGCACAAUAGAAAAGGAGGUAGCAAAUAUAGAAUUGUAGUGCAGGAGUUAAAAACACCAGAAACUAUACAUAUACAUAUACAUAUAUAUAUAUAUAUAUAUAUAUCAAAUAUUUUAUUUAGUUAGUAGAUUUCUUCAGCCUCAGCCUCCUCCGUGGUUUUUUCUCCGAUUUGGGUUUCCACCUAAAACCUAGUGUUAUUGUCUUUAUUUUUUUGCGUUAAUUUAUUGUGUUCGUCAUAAUUUGUCAUAACACAUAUAUUCCGGGUGAAACUUGCUUUCUGAUCUUAUAAACAAGGCCCUAAACUACACAAGAAGAGAGAAAAAUUAACCAACCAAUUAGGGAAGAUCUUAUGAGCAGUCCUCUGCAGAACAGGUCCAACUUUCUACUUUGAACCGAAACACAAGUAACCGAACAAACUGGAGAAGAAUUCACAUCUUCAUCUUUAUGCAAAGAACCUAAUACAGUAAUACACAGAAUAAGAUUUACAAAAUAACAGUGGAAGAGCAGUACAGGAAUGAAAAUGGUUAUUGACAUAAUGAACUGGGAAGUGGGGGUUAGCCAUUCAGGAAGAAGUCCCAGCUAGGAAGCUACUUUGGACAAGAACCUAAGAACCCCAUCCUAUCAGCUGGGGCAGUUACAUCUUCCUCUUCACCUUCUUCAUUUCCAGUUGCACCUAAUUCUUCAUCAAAUCCUUCAUUCAAUAAUUCUUCCCAGAAUCCCUCGUCAAGUUCUCUAUCUCCACUCACGAGUUGGUCAGAUUCUCUAAGGUCUUCUUCCUGUUCACUACUCACUCUACCAAAUCCCUGCAUCUCUAAUGCAAGUGCUUCUAGCUCAGACACCUGAAGACCGUAAUAAUCUCCAAAUUCUGGAGGCUCGAAUUUGACAGAUUGGGCAGCAUUUCGGCUUGAUUCUCCAAUUUCAAAACCUCUAUGGCUUUGAUCAAUUGGCCGCCACCUUUUUCUAGAAAUGGAUUCUUCAAGUUCCUUUCUUUUCUCCACCUGCUGGACUAACUGAUGGGUAAAUGUUGGAUUUUGCAUAGCUCUUGCUAAGAAUCUCAUCAUUUGAUGCUGGUUUUUUUCUGUGCCUUGUAGUCUCAGUUCCAUGGACUGAAGGUGAGCUCUGGUGUUCUGCUGCUGGUGUCUAAGCUUCAAAAGUUCCAUCAGUAGAACUUGCUUUUCAUGUUUCAGGCGUUCAACUUCACCGUCUAAUCCAGAUCCUCCACCUUCAACACAAGUGUCAAGUCCUUCUUGCGGAGUCUGAGGAGGUGCCUUUUUUCUCUUAAUGUUCUUCAGAAGAUGCUUCUGGCCCCUUAUAAACGCUUCAUUCGCAAACUCCCAUAUAUCUGGAUCUAUCUUUCUAAAACCCUGCAUCAGUAUGAUCCAUAUUCAAAGGUCAACUGAAGUUUGUGAGUAAAAUAAUAUCUUGAGUCUUCAUACAGAAAGGCAUAAUCUGUUCCAUCAAGGACGUAGCAUUCCCACUCGUGAUAAUCACUUGCAAAUUGACACUUUGAUAUCUUGAACCAUUAUGAACCAAUCAGAAACUAAGAAAAACAUCUGCAUGAGCAUAACCCCAAAAGAGCCUCUGGGAGGAAACCACACGCAGAAACUAGCAGUUGGAGGUAUUGAAUAGGCAAAACAUGAAGAUGGAAAAAUUCAAUUGAUAUUCAAUGCAUGAUGGAAACAGGAUAUAUUCCAAGUGCUUUCGAAAGAAUACUCAUGAUACUUUAAGAACGCAUGUAAUAAUCAGUAGCAUAGAAAAUUAUUCAAUAAGAUCUGUAAGAAGAAAAAUAAAUUCACAUAGGUACCUGAAAUAAAUUCGGAAACAUAUAAGACUUUUUUUAUUAUAGCCCACUCAUGAACCACCUUGUUUUUUUCUAGGAUCAGAAAGAAUUUGCUUUUGAGUAAAGUUGUGUCAUACUUGCACACUCGCUCAUAGAAUUGGGUUUCCUUGGGAGUUCUCAUGGAGAAGUAUUAUGAAGAUUAGUCAUUAUGAGUUUGGUGGUGACAACAUGUGGGAUUGUAGCUUGAUAAAUAGCAUCAUUGGGACUCUAUGGAGAGCUGAUUGCUACUAGAUUAUAUAUGAUGUUUUCUCAACUCAACACUGCCUUUUAUCUCAAACUAGUUGGGGCAAGCCGAAAAUUAUCAAUACAAAAAUAUGCAAUGUAAUGUUAUAGCUAAAAUCAUUAUUAAAAAAAACAUAGCUAAGGUCUCCUACUAUCUCCAGCAGCUUGAUACACUAAAGGCCUCCUGUCCUAUAAGAGUUGUUGAAAACCUGAUCAAGCAGACAGAAAAAUCUGGACUUUUACUGCUAGUAAACAGUUAUACUGCAUCACUUGGAGUAAACUCAAAUAAACUGCUUCUGAGGUCAAAUUGGCAAAAAUGGCGAAAUGUUUUUUCUUUAUUUCACAGAUAAUGUAACCAAGAUGUGCAUUUAUACUCUGGAUGAUGAUAUAACAAGACUGAAUUCAAACAAAAGGAAAACAAAAAUGUAGCCUUUUAUCAAGAAAGCAGAUUGCUACAAGACUGAGUUCAUUCAAGGGAAAACAAAAUGUAGGAUGUUAUUAAGAAAGCAGAUUGCCUUGUGGGUGGAUGCGCAACAGAAAAGAGAGCACUUUUUCUUCUUUUGUGAAUAUUAUGAGCAGUUCAGCACUUGAAGAAAAGACUUUCCUAAACAAAAAGAAAGAUUAGAAAUCUUGGCAGCCAGCUGUUUACUUCAUUUGUAGAGAAGAGAGAGCAGCAUCUUUCAACAUCAACAGCCUACAAGCUCAAUUAUAAGAGAAAUUGAAUCACUAUUAAAGCUGAGAGGUAUGCAAUUGGAAUGGAGUUCCAAGGAUUAUUCAAAUAUGAGAGCUUUGUUUGAACUGGGGACUUGGAGAUAAUUUGUUUUUCCAAAUUUUUAUUUCUUUCUUUUCUUUUCUUUUUGGGGGGGUGGGGGGGUAAGCAGUGAUAUGCCCUGAGUUAUAUAUUAUUAUUUGUUCUGAUUCUACCGAACUUGCUAGUUAUCAAGCAAAAUUACAGGAAAAUCAUGAACACUAAUAAGGCAUAUCAAUAGCUCAAAUAAGAAAAUAUAAUCAACCAAAAAUUCAUUUUUAAAAAAAAAAUUAUCACCCAAUUGACAUUUCUAGAUGAACUCCAUAUAUCUAAUAUUAGAUGAAAUAUUAAAGAACCAAGAAACUUACAUAAGUAUUAAGCUGCCUAACAAAGCUUGAAAAAUUGUUGUGCUUGAAAUAUCUUGGGAGAAGAUUGGUGGAUAAAGCAUUAGGAUCCCAAACAGCAAAGCUAUGACCCUUUCCACUCCAAGAAACAAUAUGAUCAGUGGAUGGAUCAUCCACCAUAUCAAAGCUUUUGUUAAGGAAUGGUGGAGGACCUAUUUCAUUUAGACCCUCCAUUGGCUGUGGCCGUAGCACCAUGGCCGGAUUGCUGGACCGCAAUGAACAUGAUCCUGGGUAUUCGUCCUUAACUGGGUAUGAAGGAUUCAUGAUCAAUAUUACAAAAAGAUUUGAACUUUUUUCGGGGGUUUCACCUUUUAGCUUCUUUUUUCAUCUAGUUAUAAAAUCAAGAAAUAUCUCAAUCAAAUUUCGUAUAAUGGACUCAGGCAUGAACAAAAUAAAGAUUAGAGAUUUGAAAAUUUUCUUUAAAUAAAAUAGACAAGUUACAUGAUAGAGAAGACAAAUAAGCUAAAAAUAGAUUUCUUUUAUUGGAAAUAUAGUUUUGAGAUUAGAAAGCCACCAUACUAGUGUAUUGAAAGAGAAUAUAUAACAAGGUGAGGAAAAUCAAAUGAAGGACAAAAGUGACGAAUAAGCUAAAAAUGAAUUUCUUUUUGAGGAAUCUAUUUUUGAGAUUAGAAAGCCACCAUACUAGGAUUGAAAGAAAAUAUAUAACAAGAUGAGGAAAAUCAAAUGAAGGUAAAAAAAAUGGGUAAUUUCAGAUCAUCUAUUUUUGGAAACCCUGCUUUCUCUUUUGGGAAAGUUAGUUUAUGCAGUUGAUUGAGAGAAGUUGGCUGGUUUGUCAAACAAAUGAAGUUUCUAUGGAGCCAGGGGGGAG
This 58749-nucleotide long non-coding RNA is filed under the name Panax ginseng (ginseng). Its description in RNAcentral is "long non-coding RNA (PGIN_LNC001974)". The record is from RNAcentral. Lineage: Eukaryota; Viridiplantae; Streptophyta; Magnoliopsida; Apiales; Araliaceae.